GCUCCUCCUCCGCUCUGCUCUUCUCUCUCCCUAUUUUCUAGAUUACAACUAGAACUAACUAGAACUAGAACUAGAGGAACUAGAACUAGAACUAGAUGAACUAGAACUAGAUCUAGAUGAACUAGAGGUAGAACUAGAAGAACUAGAGGGAUCCUCUCUACUUGGAUGAAGAAUUGAAACCCUAACUUUGAUUCUGUAGAAGAGGUAUGAUCUCCAGGGGCCAGGGGGGUCUGGUUUUAUAGUCCCUUCAAGUGAAUCUGGGCCGUCGGAUCAAACCGGCAUUGAUCGUGUGGUUUUCCUUGAAGUAUUAGGUCGGUGGAGCAUUGUCCUGAAAGAGAGUCCUGAUUGGACUCUGGCUGAGGGCGGGCGCCCAAGAGACUAGGGCGGGCGCCCUGUGCCUGAGCCCUCUCAGCCUUUGCUUCGGUCUCGUGGCUUCUGGAGUCUUCUAGAUGAUAGAAAAUUGCGCGGCACGUUAAUAUCUCUAUGUAAACCCGACGUGUGGGCCUUUCUUCCAUAUUUCCUGUUAACCCCCUGCAGAAAUAGACAAACACCAAAACUCGUGGAAUUCUGUCAGAUAAAACCCUAAGUCUAGGUGUUGGUUGCAUUUGGAUCCUUUUCUAUGAUUAGUUGAUGGUUAAAUGUGAGCAUUAAGGACCGUCAACAAGCUCCCCCAAGCUUAACCUUUGCUCGUCCCUGAGCAAAGAUGAACUCAAGAGUUUCUGCAGUGGUUUCAUGCCUUAAAGAUACACAUGCGUUUAAACAAGAUCUCAUCUCUGGUUAGAGUAAACUAUUAAGACUUAAAACUUACUCAUUUACCUUUCACCAUGGGACUUGUAACCGUCACUUGUGUCUUGAGCAGUUAAAAGAUAGAACGGUCUAGUCAAGCACCAUGUCUCUUGUUCUUCGAUUAACUAUAGCUCUAGAGUUUUUGCAGAUUUUCAAAUAAAACUCAGAGAUUCCUUGUAUGACUCUCUCUAGUCUCUCUUUUGUGGUAUUUCUGGAUCCUUACCAAGGCAGUAAUGGUAUAUGCCUUCUCUCAAAGUAUGUAGUAUUUUUGGUAUGGGGCAUAGUGGCAUUGCCUUCUCUCUCACCCUACUCUAAUAAGGUUUUGAUAUCUGGAGCUCAUAGGUGGGAGACAGCUAAUACAUACUUACAAGACAUUUAUUGCAUAGUCAAACCAUGGAUCCAGAAGAACAAGUCAAUAAGUCAAAUCAAGAUGUGCAUGUGUGGCGUAUGAAUGAUGUAUGGUGAUGAUGGUGAUAACAAUGGUGGAAGUCUAAUUCUACUUAUGCUCUUUUGAGGGGAUACAUACCUUUCUUGCUCUUUUGAAACCUUUUGAGGAGAAUGAGAUGCUCUAUAUUUUCUUUUUCUUUUCUCUCAGGUGGGUAUCUUGUACCCCUAAUUCUACUGUCGGACACUUGUCCAUUUUUACCUCUCGUCUCACUUUUUUUUCUCUUUUUUUUUCGAGGUUCCGGGCACUUGCCCCUUUUUAUUUCCUUGUAUCUUUUUUUUUCUUUUUUUAGAGAGCACUCAUCUCUUGAAAUAAUAUAGCAAGUGGUAGUAACAAGAUAACUUGAGCAUUUAUUUCACAGGGGAAAAACAAAAAUAUUUUUGGCUAUUCUCUCCCGGAUUAGGAGUAGAAUAUUUUUGGGUGGUUCUGGAGAUGGAAAUGGAUGGAUAUAUGUGGAUGCGUACUUCCGGAGUAGAAGCAGCAUGUAUGAGUGAACGUGCAAGUGAAUCUUGAUUUAACCACAUGACAAGCUCCUAAGGGUCUACACAGCUUGACCACACUCAAUGCUCAUAAGUAGUAAAUAAUAAAUGUGUGGCUCAAAGUCUAGCAAGCAUGUAUAUAUGGCUGUGGUAGGAAUUUAAACUCUCAUCAUAUAGGAACUCAUCAUGCAACGUUUUAAAGAUUUUCAAAGAUAAAAUUCUCCAGAAUUCUAGCAUCUCUAGGAACAGAUAAACAGCAGCUCAACCUUCCCAUAUCGUAUCCGUUAACGACUUAGACUUUAGAUCAAGUACUCUCCCCACAAGUUCAGGUUUAGAGCAAAUCUUAAUUAAUAACAGUCAUGCCUAAACUUGAGAGAGAUUUCAAUUUUGAGAACUAGUCAUGGCAGAGCAACUAUUCAUGAUUUCCAUGUGAGAGCUUAUCAUGAGGGUUCAUAGCAAACUUUAUUUAUUUAUUUAUUUAGCAAACUAAGCAAAGAUAUAUAUAAGCACAAAAUUUUUAUUUGGGUUUUCAUGAUUAUGCAUCUUUUUAUUAUUUGAGUAAAGUAUAAAUGCGAGUAGAAACACUUAGCUGGAUAAAUGGGGGUGCUCUCCCCCAAGCUGGAUUUUGACAUAAUUUCUUUUGAUGUAGCUAGCAGGUGGCGGAGGUGUAUUUGAAUGUCGGCAGCACUCUGACAGCGAUUAGGAUGUCCUCCGUCUGCUAGACUUCUUUGAUCCUUGAAUUCUGUGGAGCUCAAAUAGACAACAAAGCUUUGUGGAACUAGUUAAGUGUUAGCAUAAAUAUUUAGCCUUUAUCAUGUUGAGUCUCCUCAAUAAAUGUUACUCUCUUUAGUAGGAUCACUAUCUUAUUUUUACAAUUUUAUUUUUGUAGGACAGGAAUAUAUUUAUUUCAUUUUUAUGCCAGCACAGUGAAUGUGCUUAUGGGUUUUAUGCCAUGAGCAUAAUCAUAUGGGGCAUACUAUUUUUUAACAUUUUUAUUUUCUUUUCAAGAUGAUAUGAACCUGAUUAACUAAGCAAACUAUUUUAAGAUAAUUGAAAGGAAAAGAUAACUACCAAGUUUACCUCUUGGCAAGGCGUUCGGUGUUUUUAAGUCCUCCGAACGGGACUCUCCGUUUUCUCAGUUGUCCUGGGAUUCGCUAGAUGGCGUAGUCGGUGGUUUCGGCGGCGCGUACUCUUCAUGUAUAACUAUCUUCUCUCUCCACACCUGACUCGGUGCUACGGUCUCCUCAGGACAGUUCUGUUCAAGCUAUAUGUCUUCAGACCUUACGACUUCUUCUUCAUAGUCUGCCCAUCCGUCCUUGAUGAUUUGCCUCCUCUGGUUGCGGUUGCGUCGUCGUUUUCUUGUCCUGACCUACUUAGAGUCUUCAACUAUAUAGUUAGGGUCAGUAAAAUAGUGGCGUACCUUCUCAGAGGGGAAGUUCAUGUGGAUUUCUCCGGUUCCAAUGUAGAUGAUUGCUUUGACGAUGCUGAGGAAAGGUCUUCUAAGGAUGAUGAGUGGAUCGAAUUCGUCUUCUCCCAUGACAAUAACCUUUCAGAAUGUCUGAUCUGCCAUCUGAAGCUGAAUCUAUGUCGGUUGUAGGGGCAUGGUUCCACGCAGGAGCUGAUAAGUGACUGCGGCCAUUAUGUUAACGUUAGAUCCGGUGUUGUAGAGUGUCUUCUGAAAAGAAUAUCCGUUAAUUGUGCACUCGAUGCUUGGAACACCAGGGUCGUCCUUCUUGAUAAAGAAAGGUGACUUGAGUUGACGAUCUUGACCUCCUUGAGCUGCAGUGACCAUCUUAGCUGACUCGGUCCACAUUUGCUUGUUCCUGUUCCUCCUGUUGGUCCUCUUCCUUGUUUCAUGUCAGGAUUGCUCUGAGAUUUGUGUAGUCUUGUUCUUGAAGGAAAACGUCUCCGUCCUUCCCUUGAUGUAGAAACUGAUCUUGACAGCACUAGCAUAGAUGACAGCUCCCGAGGUAUUCAGGAAUGGCCUCCCUAGGAUGAUGGGUGCCCUCUCAUCAGUAUCAGUCUCUAUCACCACGAAGUCUGCUGGAGCGUAUAAGGUACCAACUCGGACGUAGAGGUUCUUCAAUAUUCCCCUUGGGAAACUUAGUGUCUGAUCUGCAAGCUGCAAACACAUGGUUGUUUCUAGGAAAGGAUGUGUAAAGAAUUUAUCAUAGAGUACCCUGAGAAUAAUGUUAACGCUGGAGCCAAAGUCGCAGAGUGCUUCUAGGAAGUCCACCAUGCCGAUGGAAAUCGGGAUGACGAGACGUCCUGGAUUGUAUCUCUUGACCGGCAGAAGGUCAGUAAUUAUUUCCACAACGGGGUUACUCCAGUAGUUACGUCCUCAAGCAUCUCAGGGCAGUGAUUGCCUGAGUGUCCAGUAUCUCCAGUGUGUUUGUGCUCGUAGAUCUAGGUUCUUCACUUAGUGGAGUCUGGGAGUUAUAAGAGUCCUUCAUAUUUUGCUCGAAGUGUACCUGCUCACAGAGACAAGGCAGAGAUCAAGUGCAUGGGCCCUGUUGGUGGAAAACACCAACAGAACCAAAAGUGUAUUUAUUCUUCUCUAACCUUAAGCAUAGUGAGCAAGACAAAGUUAAUGGAUAAUAAGAUCAUGAUUGUAGCAUUUAAAACAUUUGUCAGAUCAGAUGGCUCAACCUAAUGGAAAGAUAAUCUAUCUAUACUUAUGUUUUUUUUUAUCAUAUAUAUCUUCCAAAUAUUGAGUGUGCAACAUUUUAGCUCAUAUGAUUAGGAGUGUGGGAUCACAAAGGUGGAAGGACUAAACAUAUUGAAUCGAUUGGGUUGGUUAAUCUAGAGUUGUAAAUCAUACAUGUUUGUCUCUUUUAUUCAUGUGAACGCCAGAACCAAGGAGAAGCUUAUAAAAGUGAUAGUCAAGUACCUUAAGAUGUUACCUUACUUGAAGAGUGAUGAUACAGUAUCACCUUGUGGAAGCUUUCCUUUCUUAGCAGUUGUGAAUCGUGUUUGUGGCACCCUCCAUGGAUCAUCUCUUGUGAGCUAUGCCUUCCUUGUGUAAAUUGUUAAACUUCAUGUGUCUCUCUCUUUGUCUCCAAUGUGAGUUUGUCUCAAGACUUCCCAGAUUGAUAUUGAAAGUUUUCCUGCAGGGGUUAGUCCAACAAAAUAUCCAAUAUCUACUAUAGCAUACUAUCGGCUCAAAAAUCAACCUAGACACCAUGUCUAAUUUGAUUCAGGAGGGCUUUUUUAACCUAAGCACCAUGCUUAAUUUAAAACCCCUUGGAAGUAAGAUCAUCAUUCCUAAACUAAGCACCAAGCUCAAUUAAGAGAUAAAUGAAACUACUCCAAACCUAGACAUAUACUAAAGCAAAUAAAGGUAGCAUGAGAGCAUUUAUAGAGAUCUACUCAAGUGGAGAUGAAGUAGUGUGAUUAGUAUUUAACAAAUUGAGCAUGUUUCAAAGGUAAGGACAACCAACAUAGCAACAUGGCAAAGGAUGUUUUUAUGUAAAGUACUCCCCCAAGCUUGAAUUUUGCAAAAUUCAAGUUUGGAUGAAUUUAAUUCAAUGUUGUAUGAUGAUUGGUUGGACAUACCUUGUGCUUGUCAUUCAUCCGAUCUUCUUGCUCCAAUCCUAGAAAGGUCAGUGACAAGAAUACCCGAAGGAAUAUUUUUACAAUUAUCCUUAUAUGCUCAAUUCACAAGGUAAUGUUGUAAAUAAUUCAAAGCUCAUGUUACAAUCUGAUUAGUGCUUGUUUUAGGACACUAAGCUUGUCCUUGGGAAACCAUUAAUUUAUGUCAGCGAAGUGGUUUCCCCUCCAAUGCUGACCUAUAUCAAGAUCAACUCAACGAGAUCUGCAAUAUUUAAUAUAGACAUAUGCAUCGACAACCACCCUUUUAAAGUUUUUAUAAAUAGAAAGGAAGAGGGGGUUGGAGAUCUCGAAUGUGGUGAUGUUGGAGAGACCAAUGGAUUGUGAAGAUGUUGCAUAUGAGCAUGGAGUAAAUGAAGUGGCUAUGAAAUAAAUUCCAUGCUCAUUAAUGCUUAGAGUGAAAUCCAUGUGGUAUGGUGAAAAUGGUAAGGUGAGUGUGGUAAAAAAGGAAAAGAAAAAGGAUACACGGACGACUUGGUUCGAAACUAGCACAGCUACCUGUUGACGGUCCUUAAUGCUCAUAUUUAACCAUCAACUAAUCAUAGAAAAGGAUCCAAGUGCAACCAACACCUAGACUUAGGGUUUUAUCUGACAGAAUUCCACAAGUUUUGGUGUUUGUCUAUUUCUGCAGGGGGUUAUCAGGAAAUAUGGAAAAAAGGCCCACACGUCGGGUUUACAUAGAGAUAUUAACGUGCCGCACAAUUAUCUACCAUCUAGAAGAGUCCAGAAGCCACAGGAGCGAACGGGAGACGUAACGGAGUCGGGCACUGGGCGCCCGCCCUCCCUUACUGGGCGCCCGCCCUCCCCCCUGGACCAAUCAGGGUGAAGUUCGGGGAUCAUGCUCCACCGACCUAAUACUUCAAGGAAAACCACACGAUCAAUGUCGGUUUGAUCCGACGGCCCAGAUUCACUUGAAGGGACUAUAAAACCAGACCCCCUGGCCCCUGGAGAUCAUACCUCUUCUACAGAAUCAAAGCUAGGGUUUCAAUUCUUCAUCCAAGUAGAGAUGAUCCCUCUAGUUCUUCUAGUUCUACCUCUAGUUCAUCUAGAUCUAGUUCUAGUUCAUCUAGUUCUAGUUCUAGUUCGCUCUAGUUCUAGUUCUAGUUAGUUCUAGUUGUAAUCUAGAAAAUAGGGAGAGAGAAGAGGAGAGCAGAGAAGGAGGAGCCGGAUCUGUCGGAUCUUCCUCAACAUUGUACUUUUGCAGCAGCUGGUUCAUUCUUCAUCGUUCUCCAGGUUCUUCAAUUCAUAAUUUCUGAGUUCUUUAAUUACUUUUAUUUACAUUCAAGUUAUUUAUUGGAUUCCCGCUUGCAUCAAGUGCUCUAGUCUUUAUAACGCUAGAGUAGUAAUUAAUAGAUUAGACGUGGUGUUUAGUCUUGCGAUUACCUAGAAUUGCACCCAAUCCCACGGAUUGUUGUGGUAGCCCUAGGGUAGUGACAGCCCUAACGGUCGACGUAUUCCACCACGUUCGGAUCGGUGUUUGUAGGACCGUAGUCAGACCUUCCUAGCCCCGUUCUCAUCUCUUUCUGUGGUUAGUGCUCUGAUGUCCCGAUAUAGAUAAUCUUGAAGUAAUUCUUGAUUCUUAGAUCAACUAGAGAACUCUCAGGAAACUUCCUCUCUUCCCACCAAAAAUAAUUAUAUAGUUAUCCUUGGGCGAUCUUGGAUCUUAAUUAGUACACUCACGUUCUCUGUGGAAAAUCGAUACUCUGGAAUACUCCCGGGUGAAAGCUACAUCGGUAUCCGUGCGCUUGCGGAUUUUUCUGUUUGCGUUUAAAAUACCCAACAAGCUUUUUGGCGCCGUUGCCGGGGAACGGUAGCUGUGCUAGUUUCGAACCAAGUCGUCCGUGUAUCUUUUUUCUUUUCCUUUUUUACAACACUCACCUUACCAUUUUCACCACACCACAUGGAUUUCACUCUAAGCAUUAAUGAGCAUGGAAUUUAUUUCAUAGCCACUUCAUUUACUCCAUGCUCAUAUGCAACAUCUUCACAAUCCAUUGGUCUCUCCAACAUCACCACAUUCGAGAUCUCCAACCCCCACUUCCUUUCUAUUUAUAAAAACUUUAAAAGGGCGGUUGUCGAUGCAUAUGUUUAUAAUAAAUUUUGCAGAUCUCGUUGAGUUGAUCUUGAUAUAGGUCAGCGUUGGAGGGGAAACCACUUCACUGACAUAAAUUGAUGGUUUCCUAAGGACAAGCUUAGUGUCCUAAAACAAGCACUGAUCAGAUUGUAACAUGAGCUUUUAAUUAUUUGCAACAUUAACUUGUGUAUUGAGCAUAUAAGGAUAAUUGUAAAAAAAUUCCUUCGGGUAUUCUUGUCACUAACCUUUCUAGGAUUGGAGCAAGAAGAUCGGAUGAAUGACAAGCACAAGGUAUGUACAACCAAUCAUCAUACAACAUUGAAUUAAAUUCAUCCAAACUUGAAUUUUGCAAAAUUCAAGCUUGGGGGAGUACUUUACAUAAAAACAUCCUUUGCCAUGUUGCUAUAUUGGUUGACCCUACCAUUGAGACAUGCUCAAUUUGUUAAAUACUAAUCACACUACUUCAUCUCCACUUGAGUAGAUCUCUAUAAAUGCUCUCAUGCUACCUUUAUUUGCUUUAGUAUAUGUCUAGGUUUGGAGUAGUUUCAUUUAUCUCUUAAUUGAGCUUGGUGCUUAGUUUAGGAAUGAUGAUCUUACUUCCAAGGGGUUUUAAAUUAAGCAUGGUGCUUAGGUUAAAAAAGCCCUCCUGAAUCAAAUUAGACAUGGUGUCUAGGUUGAUUUUUGAGCCGAUAGUAUGCUAUAGUAGAUAUGGGAUAUUUUGUUGGACUAACCCCGGCAUGAAAACUUUCACUAUCGACCUGGGAAGUCCUGAGGUACACUCACAUUUUUGACAAAGAGAGAGGCACAUGAAGUUUAACAAUUUACACAAGGAAGGCAUAGCUCACAAGAGAUGAUCCAUGGAGGGUGCUACAAACACGAUGCACAACCGCUAAGAAAGGAAAGCUUCCACAAGGAGAUACCGUACCAUCACUCUUCAAGUAAGGUAACAUCUUAAGGUACUUGACUAUCACUUUUAUAAGCUUCUCCUUGGUUCUGGCGUUCACAUGAAUAAAAGAGACAAACAUGUAUGAUUUACAAAUCUAGAUUAACCAACCCAGUCGAUUCAAUAUGCUUAGUCAUUCCACCUUUGUGAUCCCACACUCCUAAUCAUAUGAGCUAAAAUAUUGCACACUCAAUCUUUGGAAGAUAUAUUUUAUAUAAAAAAACAAAACAACAUAAAUAUAGAUAGAUUAUCUUUCCAUUAGGUUGAGCGAUCUGAUCUGACAAAUGCUUUAAAUGCUACACUCAUGAUUUUAUUAUCCAUCAACUUUGUCUUGCUCACUAUGCUUGAGGUUAGAGAAGAACAAAUACACUUUUGGUUCUGUUGGUGUUUUCCACCAACAGGGCCCAUGCACUUGAUCUCUGCCUUGUCUUUAUGAGCAGGUACACUUCGAACAAAAUAUGAAGGAGUUUUACAACUCCCAGACUCCACCAAGUGAAGAACCUAGAUCUACGAGCACAAACACACUGGAGAUACUGGACACUCAGGCAAUCACUGCCCUGAGAUGCUUGAGGACGUAACUACUGGAGUAACCCCAUUGAGGAAGUUACUACUGACCUUCUGCCAGUCAAGAGAGGCGAUCCAGGACGCCCCGUCAUCCCGACCUCCAUCGGCAUGGUGGACUUCCCAGAAGCACUCUGCGGCUUUGGCUCCAGCGUCAACAUUAUGCCCAGGGGAAUAUUGAAGAACCUCUACGUCCGAGUUGGUACCUUGUACGUCCCAGCAGACUUCGUAGUGAUAGAGACCGGUUCUGAUGAGGGGGCAGCCAUCAUCCUAGAGAGGCCAUUCCUGAACACCUCGGGAGCUGUCAUCUACGCUAGUGCUGCCAAGAUCAGUUUCUACAUCAAGAGGAAGAAGGAGAUGUUUUCCUUCAAGAAACAAGACUACACAAAUCCCAGAGCAAUCCCGACAUGAACCAAGGAAGAGGACCAACAGGAGGAACAAGAACAAGCAAAUGUGUACCGAGUCAGCUAAGAUGGUCACUGCAGCUCAAGGAGGUCAAGAUCGUCAACUCAAGUCACCUUUCUUGAUCAAGAAGGACGACCCUGGUGUUCCAAGCAUCGAGUGAACAAUCAACGGAUAUUCUUUUUAGAAGACACUCUAUGACACCGGAUCUGACGUCAACAUACCGGCCGCAGUCACUUAUCAGCUCCUCCAUGGAACCAUGUCCCUACAACCAACAUACAUUCCGCUCCAGAUGGCAGAUCAGACAUUCUGAAAGAUUGAAGGUUAUUGACAUGGGAGAAGACGAAUACAAUCCACCCAUCACCCUUGGAAGACCGUUCCUCAGCACUGUUAAAGCAAUCAUCUACAUUGGAACCGGAGAAGUCCACAUGCACUUCCCCUUUGAGAAGGUACGCUGCUAUUUUAGUGACCCUAACCAUAUGGUUGAAGACUCUAAGCAGGUCAGGACAAGAAGAAGACGACGCAACCGCAACCAGAGGAGGCAAAUCAUCAAGGACGGAUGGGCAGACUACGAAGGAGAAGUAGUGAGGUCUGAAGACAUACAGCUUGAACAGAACUGUCCUGAGGAGACCGUAGCACCGAGUCAGGUGUGGAGAGAGAAGAUAGUUAUACACGAAGAGCAGGCGUCGCCGGAACCACCGACUACGCCAUCCAGCGAAUCCCAGGACGAAUGAGAAAAUGGAGAGUCCCGUUCGGAGGACUUAAAAACACCGAACGCCUUGCCAAGAGGUAAACUUGGUAGUUAUCUUUUUCCUUUCAAUUUAGUUUGCUUAGUUAAUCAGGUUCACAUCAUCUUAAAAAGAAAAUAAAAAUGUUAAAAAUAGUAAGCCCCAUGUGAGUAUGCUCAUGGCAUAAAACCCAUAAGUACAUUCACUGUGGUGGCGUAAAAAUAAAUAUAUAUUCCUGUCCUGUAAAAAUGAAAAUAUAAAUAAGAUUGUGAUCCUACUAAAGAGAGUAACAUUUAUUGAGGAGGCUCAACAUCAUAAAGGCUAGAUAUUUAUGCUAACACUUAACUAGUUCCACAAAGCUUUGUUGUCUAUUUGAGCUCCACAGAAUUCAAGGAUCAAAGAAGACUAGCAGACGGAGGACAUCCUAAUCACUGUCAGGGUGCUGCUGACAUUCAAAUACACCUCCACCACCUACUAGCUACAUCAGAAGAAAUUACGUCAAAAUCCAGCUUGGGGGAGAGCACCCCCAUUUAUUCAGCUAUGUGUUCUACUCGCAUUUAUAUUUUACUCAAAUAAUAAAAAGAUGCAUAAUCAUAAAAACCCAAAUAAAGAUUUUGUGCUUAUAUAUAUAUAUAUCUUUGCUUAGCUUGCUAAAUAAAUAAAUAAAGUUUGCUAUGAACCCUCAUGAUAAGCUCUCAUAUGGAAAUGAUGAAUAGUUGCUCUGCCAUGACUAGUUCCUAAUAUUGAAAUCUCUCUCAAGUUUAGGCAUAACUGUUAUGAAUUAAGAUUUGCUCUAAACCUGAACUUGUGGGGAGAGUACUUGAUGUGAAGUCUAAGUCGUUAACGGAUAUGAUAUGGGAAGGUUGAGCUGUUGUUUAUCUGUUACUAGAGAUGCUAGAAUUCUGGAGAAUUUUAUCUUUGAAAAAAUCUUUAAAAUGUUGCAUGAUGAGUUCCUGUAUGAUGAGAGUUUAAAUUCCUACCACAGCCAGAUAUACAUGCUUGCUAGACUUUGAGCCACACAUUUACUUUUUACUGCUUAUGAGCAUUGAGUGUGGUCAAGCUGUGUAGACCCUUAGGAGCUUGUCAUGUGGUUAAAUCAAGAUUCACUUGCACGUUCACUCACACAUGCUGCUUCUACUCAGGAAGUACCAUCCACAUAUAUCCAUUUCCAUCUCUAGAACCACCCAAAAAUAUUCUACUCCUAAUCCGGGAGAGAAUAGCCAAAAAUAUUUCUGUUUUUCCCCUGUGAAAUAAAUGCUCAAGUUAUCUUGGUUACUACCACUUGCUACAUUAUUUCAAGAGAUGAGUGCUCUAAAAAAAACAGAAAAAAAAGAGAAAAAAAAGAUACGAGGAAAUAAAAAGGGGCAAGUGCCCGGAACCUCGAAAGAAAAGAAAAAGUGAGACGAGAGGUAAAAAUGGACAAGUGUCCGACAGUAGAAUUAGGGGUACAAGAUACCCACUUGAGGAAAAAGAAAAAAAAUAUAGAGCAUCUCAUUCUCCUCAAAAAGUUUCAAAAGAGCAAGGAAGGUAUGUAUCCCCUCAAAAGAGCAAAAGUAGAAUUAGACUUUCACCAUUGUUAUCACCAUCAUCACCAUACACCAUUCAUUCGCCACACAUGCACAUCUUGAUUUGACUUAUUGACUUGUUCUUCUGGAUCCAUGGUUUGACUAUGCAAUAAAUGUCUUGUAAGUAUGUAUUAGCUGUCUCCCACCUAUGAGCUCCAGAUAUUAAAGCCUUAUUAGAGUAGGGUGAGAGAAAAGGCAAUGCCACUAAGCCUCAUACCAAAAAUACCACAUACUUUGAGAGAAUGCAUACACUAUUGCUGCCUUGGUAAGGAUCCAGACAUACCACAAAAGAGAGACUAGAGAGAGUCAUACAAGGAAUCUCUGAGUUUUAUUUGAAAAUCUGCAAAAACUCCAGAGCUAUAGUUAAUCGAAGAAUAAGAGACAUGGUGCUUGACUAGACUGUUCUAUCUUUUAACUACUCAAGACAGAAGUGACGGUUACAAGUCCCAUGGUGAAAGGUAAAUGAGUAAGUUUUAAGUCUUAACAGUUUACUCUAACCAGAGAUGAGAUCUUUUUUAAACGCAUGUGUAUCUUUAAGUUAUGAAACCACUGCAGAAACUCUUGAGUUUAUCUUUGCUCAGGGACGAGCAAAGGUUAAGCUUGGGGGAGCUUGUUGACGGUCCUUAAUGCUCAUAUUUAACCAUCAACUAAUCAUAGAAAAGGAUCCAAGUGCAACCAACACCUAGACUUAGGGUUUUAUCUGACAGAAUUCCACAAGUUUUGGUGUUUGUCUAUUUCUGCAGGGGGUUAUCAGGAAAUAUGGAAAAAAGGCCCACACGUCGGGUUUACAUAGAGAUAUUAACGUGCCGCACAAUUAUCUACCAUCUAGAAGAGUCCAGAAGCCACAGGAGCGAACGGGAGACGUAACGGAGUCGGGCACUGGGCGCCCGCCCUCCCUUACUGGGCGCCCGCCCUCCCCCCUGGACCAAUCAGGGUGAAGUUCGGGGAUCAUGCUCCACCGACCUAAUACUUCAAGGAAAACCACACGAUCAAUGUCGGUUUGAUCCGACGGCCCAGAUUCACUUGAAGGGACUAUAAAACCAGACCCCCUGGCCCCUGGAGAUCAUACCUCUUCUACAGAAUCAAAGCUAGGGUUUCAAUUCUUCAUCCAAGUAGAGAGGAUCCCUCUAGUUCUUCUAGUUCUACCUCUAGUUCAUCUAGAUCUAGUUCUAGUUCAUCUAGUUCUAGUUCUAGUUCCUCUAGUUCUAGUUCUAGUUAGUUCUAGUUGUAAUCUAGAAAAUAGGGAGAGAGAAGAGGAGAGCGGAGAAGGAGGAGCCGGAUCUGUCGGAUCUUCCUCAACAUUGUACUUUUGCAGCAGCUGGUUCGUUCUUCAUCGUUCUCCAGAUUCUUCAAUUCAUAAUUCCUGAGUUCUUUAAUUACUUUUAUUUACAUUCAAGUUAUUUAUUGGAUUCCCGCUUGCAUCAAGUGCUCUAGUCUUUAUAACGCUAGAGUAGUAAUUAAUAGAUUAGACGUGGUGUUUAGUCUUGCGAUUACCUGGAAUUGCACCCAAUCCCACGGAUUGUUGUGGUAGCCCUAGGGUAGUGACAACCCUAAUGGUCGACGUAUUCCACCACGUUCGGAUCAGUGUUUGUAGGACCGUAGUCAGACCUUCCUAGCCCCCUUCUCAUCUCUUUCUGUGGUUAGUGCUCUGAUGUCCCGAUAUAGAUAAUCUUGAAGUAAUUCUUGAUUCUUAGAUCAACUAGAGAACUCUCAGGAAACUUCCUCUCUUCCCACCAAAAAUAAUUAUAUAGUUAUCCUUGGGCGAUCUNNNNNNNNNNNNNNNNNNNNNNNNNNNNNNNNNNNNNNNNNNNNNNNNNNNNNNNNNNNNNNNNNNNNNNNNNNNNNNNNNNNNNNNNNNNNNNNNNNNNGCACGGCGCCAGAAAGCUUGUUGGGUAUUAAACGCAAACAGAAAAAUCCACAAGCGCACGGAUACCGAUGUAGCCUUCACCCGGGAAUAUUCCAGAGUAUCGAUUUUCCACAGAGAACGUGAGUGUACUAAUUAAGAUCCAAGAUCGCCCAAGGAUAACUAUAUAAUUAUUUUUGGUGGGAAGAGAGGAAGUUUCCUGAGAGUUCUCUAGUUGAUCUAAGAAUCAAGAAUUACUUCAAGAUUAUCUAUAUCGGGACAUCAGAGCACUAACCACAGAAAGAGAUGAGAAGGGGGCUAGGAAGGUCUGACUACGGUCCUACAAACACCGAUCCGAACGUGGUGGAAUACGUCGACCGUUAGGGCUGUCACUACCCUAGGGCUACCACAACAAUCCGCAGGAUUGGGUGCAAUUCCAGGUAAUUGCAAGACUAAACACCACGUCUAAUCUAUUAAUUACUACUCUAAUGUUUCAAAGAUUAGAGCACUAGAUGCAAGCGGGAAUCCAAUAAAUAACUUGAAUGUAAAUAAAAGUAAUUAGAGAACUCAGGAGUUAUGAAUUGAAGAACCUGGAGAACGAUGAAGAACGAACUAGAUGCUGCAAAAGUACAAUGUUGAGGAAGAUCCGACAGAUCCGGCUCCUCCUCCGCUCUCCUCUUCUCUCUCCCUAUUUUCUAGAUUACAACUAGAACUAACUAGAACUAGAAGUAGAGGAACUAGAACUAGAACUAGAUGAACUAGAACUAGAUCUAGAUGAACUAGAGGUAGAACUAGAAGAACUAGAGGGAUCCUCUCUACUUGGAUGAAGAAUUGAAACCCUAACUUUGAUUCUGUAGAAGAGGUAUGAUCUCCAGGGGCCAGGGGGGUCUGGUUUUAUAGUCCCUUCAAGUGAAUCUGGGCCGUCGGAUCAAACCGACAUUGAUCGUGUGGUUUUCCUUGAAGUAUUAGGUCGGUGGAGCAUUGUCCUGAAAGAGAGUCCUGAUUGGACUCUGGCUGAGGGCGGGCGCCCAAGAGACUAGGGCGGGCGCCCUGUGCCUGAGCCCUCUCAGCCUUUGCUUCGGUCUCGUGGCUUCUGGAGUCUUCUAGAUGAUAGAAAAUUGCGCGGCACGUUAAUAUCUCUAUGUAAACCCGACGUGUGGGCCUUUCUUCCAUAUUUCCUGAUAACCCCCUGCAGAAAUAGACAAACACCAAAACUCGUGGAAUUCUGUCAGAUAAAACCCUAAGUCUAGGUGUUGGUUGCAUUUGGAUCCUUUUCUAUGAUUAGUUGAUGGUUAAAUGUGAGCAUUAAGGACCGUCAACAGGCGGCGACCUAGGCCUUGCCGACCCAGGGGUCGACUGCGCGCCCCUCUUAACGGGCUUUAGGGGCGCCAGCCCCACCGAUGCCACUUUCUACUUCCGACUGGCAAAAAGAUGGCAAAGAUAAAAAGAAGAAAGAGAAAAACAAAAAAGAGGAUAAAAGCCUUGAGUAGGCACUUACCUCGCUUGGGGCGCAGCGCCCUUCUGGGAGCUCGGCGCUCCCUUGGUUCCGCGGGCUAUCAGGUAGGCGCCUGCCGCCGCCCCUAGGGUCGUGGUGGCCCCAACAGCUGUUCUGGCCUUCGGCGCCUCCGCCGAGACCUCCGCCUCCACCUCUAUCUCAGGACGAGGCUUGGUUGGGGCCUUCGGGCCCACGGGCGCUUCAGGCUCUCCAUCCGACGGCCUUGUUGAUAUUUGGGAACACAAUAAGGAAUUGAUCCGCAAGCGCACGGAUAUCGGUGAGCACUUCACCCGGGAGGUUAUCCAGAGUAUCGUAUUUAUUUUUUUACCACUAGGAGAAAGAGUGCAUCUGACUAACCCGGUCUAUUACUACUAACCCUUUAGGCAACAAAGAAUGUUUCUCGAUGUGAGUGAUAAAUAGAGAAGACUACAACCGUAAUCUCCUUCUAACCUUGGUAAGGAUGAUCUACUGUUCUAUUGUGGAGGCUAACAGAAUCUAGACACCACAAAGGAUGUUCAACACGCACCUAUAAACCCUAUCCUUCCUGCUAACGAGAUAUGGUCUGCAAAGGUAACUCGGAAAUGUCACGUUCCUCGCUACUACCACGGUCUAGCUAGUCAGGGAAUAUCUAUGAGUAUCCUAGCUUAAACACCACGUCUACGCUAGAGAUGAUUACUCUAAACUCUACGCGAAGAGAUUAAAGUAAACUCAUAAACCAAAGAACAAUAAAACAAGAACUUACUAGAAUUUAGAAGUCGAAAUACUGAAGAAUCCUAGGAGCAAGCCUCGAGUUAGGAGAACUUGAUCCCGCAGGUACAAGCUCGGAGUAGACACCGACAGGCCGGGCUUCCUCCGAUCUACACCUCCACUCUAUUUCUCUCAAUCUAGUAGAAACUAGAAGAUCUAUUUCUACUCACAUUGGUUGCUAAGCCUAAAAAGAAAUUUUAUUUAGAGAAGAGGUUUUCCUUCAAGGGCUCCCCUCAACUCUAUGAUAAACUUGUCUCCUCCAGGGGCUAGGGGGUCAUGUUUUAUAGUCCCCUCAAGUGAACGUGAGCCAUUAGAUCAAACCGACAUUGAUUGGACGGUUAUCCUUGAUCCUUUAGGUCGGUGGAACGUCGUGUGCGAAAAGAGUCCUGAUUGGCAUCGAACAGAGGGCGGGUGCCCAGGUCCUCAGGGCGGGCGCCCUGGGCCUGGCCGCUUUCGGCCUCUGCUUUCUUCCCGUGGCUUCUCGAGUCUUCUAGAUGGUAGAAAAUUGCGCGGUGCGUUGAUAUCUCUAUGUAAUCCCGACAUGUGGGCCUUUCUUAUUUCCUGAUAACCCCCUGCAGAAACAGAUAAACAACAAAACUCAUGGAAUCGAACCCUAAUUCUAGGUGUGGUUUGUAUAUUGGUCCUUUCUCUUGUUUAUUUGAUAAUUAAAAUUGAUACUUAAGAACCGUCAACAGGCCUCUCCCCACCUUGGGGACCCACGGGAACCGAACCCUCCUGAGGGGCUUCGUCCCCACCUUCGUCAACAAUGAUGUAGGGGGCGCCAUCUGUGCCCAAAGGAAUCCAUGACCCCCUUGGGGCCUCUGACCCCCCAAAGGCCUCUGUCCCCCCACCGAACAGGGGUACCUCUUCGUCAUCCUCCUCUUCUAGGAGCUCGUUCAGCCAGUGUGCGUCUUCCCCGCCCUCUAUCACCGAGACCGAAGCCUCAGAGGAUUCAGGCUCGGGGAGCCCCACCUUCUCAGCCUCACGAUGGCGCUUGACCAAGGCCUCCGCCUUCUUUGCCUUCUUUGCCUUCUUCGCUUUCUUAUUCUCCUUCAGGCGCUUCUGCUCCUCGUUCUUGGCCUGGUUCUGGGCCCAGAUCUCCUUGUCCUUUGGGACCGGGGGUAGGACGUAUUUGAUAAUGCCCAUCCCCUGCGAACAGAUGGCGACCCGAAUAAAAACCAAGGCAAAGAAGAGGAUGACAAAGCAGGGAUAGGGGUGGAGAUGUCUUACCAGAGAGAAGUAGUCCCUAUCAAGACGCAUCGUGAUGACCUGAUAAUUCUUCAACUCUAAGGACACCGUCCUCAAGACUCGGAGAUUGAUCUGUGAGGCGGGCAUUGGCUCCUCCAGCAUCCGCUUCCUGGCCAAGGGUGCAUUGGGGGUCAUCUCCCACAUGGGCAGCACCCGCUGUGCCAGCGGGAGGAGGCUUCGCUUGUGGAAAGCGACCACCACCGUGGCCGCAGUAACGCCCUCUCGCUGUAGCUUUGCGAGGGCCUCAAAGAGGGCACUCAAUAACCAUCUUCCCCGUGUACUCCAGGAGAAGGUCGUGGUCGUUUUGGAGGUAGAACCACCUGUUCUGCCACCCCCGGUCCGACGACGGCAUGAUGCUCCGGAUAUACUUGCUAGAGUGCGACUACCGGAGCUGGAGCGUGCAGCCACCGGUCCUUAAGGGCCUCUUCUCCCCACCCUCGUUGCGGGAGGACAUCUCCGCCUUGAAGAGGUGGAGCCAGAGGUUCCAAUGGGGAGGGAUCCCCAGGUACCCCUCGCACACCGUGGCGAAGACGGCCGCAUGCAUAAUCGAGUUGGGGUUGAAGUUGUGCAGCUCCACCUCAUAGUGGUGCACAAGGGUGCGCAUGAACCGGUAGGUUGAAAUCCUGAACCCCUGGUCUUAGAAAGACAGGAAGCAAACCACGUAGCCUAGCGGCAGGUUUGGCUCCCUAUCGUUCACCAGAGGCACGAGCUACUCUGGCAUUGUCUCGUCCGUGACAGGAUGGAGAAGUCCACCCGCCACACGGGCCUCCAGCGCCGCCUCCAUGACGUUGCAUGGAUGCCACAUGUCGUCGCCGGCCAUGGUUGGGGGCGGAAGCGGGUGCUUGCAAGGAGCUCGGUGGUGGUGAGGAGGUGACAGCAGGAGGCUUGGAGGCGUGAGUGUUUGGAGGCAAAGGUAAAAGGGGAAAGAACUAGAGACCCCGCGGCGGCUUUUAUAGAAGAGGCGUGCCACAUCCCGUCCUCCACGAAGCGGAUCGGGGAGGGGAAAAUAAACCGUCGGCCGCCUCAUUAACUAAGCAAGGUAACCAAGGCGUCCACCCUUUCCGAUUCCCAUGAUAACUGCACGCACGCACGCAUCAAUUUUGCAGGCGAAACGUCCUGUCUAGAUCGGGCGCAAUGGCGUGGUCGUUCUGGCUCCCAACACGAGUCGCCUCAAAAGGAGUGCCCCGCCAAUCAAGUUCGAGUGGUUCCUUCCAAGGUAAGGAGCGCCCGACACCCCUGCUACGCCCGAGCCGAUACCUCCUAAGGUAAAAAUCCCCAAGGCUAUGGCCUCUUACGUUCCAGAGGUUGUGAGACUGACCUUGUGGGGGUAUAAAACCCUAUACCCUUACGGCUAGACUUGGGCCAGGAGACUUGGUCCAUCACGAGACAAUUCGGGGCUUGAUCCAACUGCUUGGAGUUCCACACAAGGAAACAAGACGUGGAGAUCAAGCUGGAUUCUAGUCGAUUGGAAUAGGAAUUGAUAUCAUACUAUCUAUGGCAAUUGUAACCGACUAGGAUUAGUUUCCAGAUCUGUAACCCUGCCCUCUGGACUAUAUAAGGAGAGGCAAGGGACCCCCUAGGACAACUCAUCUCAACUCGACACAAUCCAAUACAAUCAGACGCAGGACGUAGGUAUUACGCCCACACGGCGGCCGAACAUGGACAAAAACCUUGUCUGUGUCUUGCGUCACCAUCAAGUUCGUAGCUUGCGCACCAUCUACCGAUAAACUACUACCGUGGGUAUACCCCAAGGUAGACUGCCGACUAGCUUUCGUCGACAGUGGCGCGCCAGGUAGGGGGUGUGCGUACAGCUCUCCCGACGAACAAGAUGGUCAUCGUUCCAGCUUCUGCGGCCGUGGCUGAAGGCCUCAUGUUCACCGUCGGCCAGAUCACUUGGACAACUCACGGCGGCGGCCUUGCGACCACGACUUCGGAAGAAACCCAGAUCCAAUCUGGGACAGCAGAGGCGUCGACUCCGAUCACGCCGACUCCGAGCACCCGACCUCCACUCCCUCGUUACAGGGCAAAGUGGGUCGACAACUCAGAUCUCCUCCAAGCCCUCGAUCGCGCCAACCUCAAGCUCCUCGAAGCCUCCAACCUGGUGGAUUCGAUUUCACGAAGGUCUGAUCAGGCGACAGCAACAAAUUUUUUCGACUACCGUCGACCAACUCGUGUCUCCACACACGAACGGCUAGAGACGUCCCUGACCAUAACAUCGACCACCGCGGGACGGACCGUAAGCUCAAGACAAGCCCUCCAGACCAGCAUUGCCUUUACAGUCUGAACAACGCGGCCGAUCAGUUUUCGCGGCAUACCCAAUCUCUAUUCAGGAAGGUAGGCUUGUCGUCAAGCCAAAACAGACAACCAACUCGUCACUUCGUCGAUAUGGUCUCCAUCCGCACCCUGCCAGAAGACAAGUCCAGCAGUACAAGCUCCAGCACAGGAUCUAUCCCCACCGAGGUUUUACACCCCAAGGACGAAGACUACGAUUUGAAUCCGCCGCCAUACCCGUCGGGGUUCUCUCGCUUCCCGGUCUUUCCACCUCGAUGAGGAGAUCUGGUUUUCAAUGUCAGUAAUGAUGAACCAGUUGUUGAUGGAGAAACUGAUGAGCAGAGACAGCAACGAGAGCAACGCAACACCGACCGUGCCCAACGAUGAGCAAACGAGGAACAACAGCUCGCCCCACAUAGUCUCAAUGAUGCUUUUGACAUGGUCGGAAAUCAGCAGGUCUACAAGACACCAAGCGCCAACAUGGCUGUCGCCAUGGCAAACUUGGAUCGCCUUCCCGAUGCUCCCGAAUAUCAGGACAUUCGAGCCAACAUACGGGCGCAUUUGAUCGUGGCCAUGGGACAGACCGCUACUCUGCUCAAAAGGGUUCAAGCCGUAUCCUAUACGGAGGUCACCUCCGACCAGACUCAUCACAGCCGCACCUCACCGCGAUCUGGCGGGCACCGUCGUAGCCGUUCACCCACCAAUAAUCGAAGGAAGGACACCCAUCGCGACAAUUGUGGUUGGGACGCCAGCAGUUACCACGAUCAAAGACGUGGACGUGGUCAGCAGGUGAACCAGGAUCGGGAUCUACGACACAACAUCCCCCCUAAGGAUGCCCGCGAACACAUCAACAGGCGCGCUACGGAACGAGCGGUACACGAAAACGUGUGACGCAUUGAAUACGAUGCAGCACAUGCCCCCCUGGCCUAAGACAGUUUUCCUCCCACCUUCACCAAGUCGUCUGGCCCCGCAACUUUAAGCUCGAGAAGCUUAAAAAAUAUGACGGCAAGGAGUACCCUGAAAACUGGAUCACUCUUUACGAGAUCGCAGUCCGAUCAGCAGGAGAAGAGGAGCACGUCAUGGCAAAUUACUUCCUAGUCGUCCUUGACCAAGCUGGCCAUCAAUGGCUCCUCGGCCUACCCGAGGAGUCCUUCGACUCUUGGGAAGAACUGCGCCAGGCGUUUAUUAACAAUUUCAUUGCUACCUGCGAGUAGCCUGGAAACAAAUACGAUCUCGAGAGGAUAAGGGACAGGAAAAAUGAGCCCUUGCGCGAUUACAUCCGACGAUUCUCAGAUAUGCGUCUUAAGAUUCCAAAAAUUUCUCACAACGAUGCCAUAUCAGCCUUCAUCAAAGGCCUAUGCUUCCAUGAAGCAUUAAGGAGUAAGCUACUACGCAAAAGACUGACCACGGUUGCCGAGCUCCUCGCCACGGCCAAAAACUACGCUGAUGCCGACGACGCCGAAAAACUCAUCCGAGAAGAUGCGAGAGGAGCCGACCAGCCUCCCCGGCAAGAUGAUAGCCGUGGACGCUUUGAUAACCAGAAUUCUCGACGCGGCGACAACCGAGAAGGUUGGGACAGGUGCCGCGACAACCGUGGUGAUUUCAGAGGCAAGCGACCUCGCGACAACGACCACGAGGUGAACACAGUCAAGCAUCCUAAUGGACGAAGGGACUAUCAGGAAGACUACAAUAAGACGCUGAAAGGACUGUGUCACCUCCAUCCCAAGUCCAAUCACACGAUGGAAGAAAGUUGUGUCCUCAAAAGCAUCUACACACAUCGGGUUGCUCAGGGGGAUUCCGUCAAGAAAAACAGGAAGCCGGAUAGACACGGCACGAAGACGAAGAUGAACCCACGACACCAGUAUGUCAGUCCCACCGACGUGGUGCAUUCCAUCUUUGGAGGCAAAGUUUCCAUCGAAUCUAAACGAGAAAGAAAGCUCCUGAAGAGAUCUGCACGCCUCAAUGUGGACAACACGGACGGCCUGAUCGCUGACCCAAAAUUCCCUCCCUGGUCGCAUAGAGAGAUCUCCUUCAACAGACAGGACCAGUGGGCCGCUAUCCCAGAACCAAGGCAUUUUCCUUUGAUCCUGGACCCUUGCAUCAACAACGUCAGGUUCGAGCGUGUGCUUGUCGACGGGGGCAGCUCCAUUGAUAUCCUUUUCUGCAACAGCCUGCCUGCUCUCAAGCUAACCCCGGCGCAACUGAAGCCGUAUGAUGCUCAGUUUUGGGGCGUCCUGCUAGGUCAAAGUUCAGUACCCCUCGGGCAGAUAACGCUGCCCAUCCAGUUUGGAACGCCACACCACUUUCGCAUAGAGUUCAUCAACUUUGUGGUCGCCGACUUCGACGGUACCUAUCACACAAUUCUAGGCCGCCCCUCGCUGACCAAGUUCAUAGCAGUUCCGCACUACUCAUACCUGGUCCUCAAGAUGCCAACCGAGAAAGGCGUCUUGACCGUCAGAGGCAACGUCUACACCGCAUACACUUGCAAGGAGAAAAGCUUCAAAGUUACCGAAGCAAUUGAUAUCUCGAUUCGCAUGGCAGAAACUGCAGUUCAAGCCGCGCAAGUUCCACCCGACCAGCUCCAACUACCCGAGCAAGAGACUCCAAGGAAGAGCUCCAAGUCCAAAGAGCACAAGGAAGUACAACUAGUCGACGGCAGCCCUGAGAAGACAGCUCUUAUCGGGGCCAACCUAGACCCCAAAUAGGAAGACGCGCUCGUCAGGUUUCUAAGGGACAACGUAAGUGUUUUCGCAUGGAAAGCCGCAGACAUGCCCGGCGUCCCACGAAACCUGAUCGAGGACUCCUUAAACAUCUCAAAGACCGCAAGACCUAUCAAGCAGAAACUACGACGGUUCGCUCAUGACAAAAAGGAGGCUAUUAGGAUAGAAAUAACACGGCUACUAGCAGCCGGAUUUAUUAAAGAAGUGUAUCAUCCUGAUUGGCAUGCCAAUCUAGUUCUUGUAAGAAAGAAGAAUAAUGAAUGGAGAAUGUGCGUUGAUUACACUGAUCUCAAUAAACACUGUCCUAAAGAUCCUUUCGGUCUCCCUCGUAUCGAUGAGGUGGUCGACUCAACGGCCGGAUGCGAACUCCUUUCUUUUCUCGACGGUUACUCUGGUUAUCACCAGAUCUCGCUAAAGGAAGACGACCAAAACAAAACUUCCUUCAUUAUUCCUUUCGGCGCAUAUUGUUACACCACCAUGUCCUUUGGACUGAAAAACGCUGGGGCCACCUAUCAACGCGCUAUUCAGCAAUGCCUCUGUGACGAGAUACGUGACGACCUCGUCGAGGCUUACGUGGAUGACGUUGUCGUCAAAUCCAGGGACGCGAGCACCCUGAUCGACAACUUGGACCUCACUUUUAAGGCGCUAAAUAAAUACAAGUGGAAGCUCAAUCCCAAAAAGUGUGUCUUUGGGGUCCCCUCUGGUCUACUGCUCGGCAACAUCGUCAACCGUGACGGCAUACAGCCGAACCCUUCAACAGUUAAGGCAGUACUUCAUAUGCGACCACCUAAGAACGUCAAAGACAUUCAAAAUCUCACCGGAUGCAUGGCUGCUGUUGACGGUCCUUAAAUACUAAAAUUAAUAAUCAAAUAAACAUGAAAAAGGAUCAAUAUGAAACAAACAUCUAGAAUUAGGGUUUUAUCUGACAGAAUUCCACGAGCUUUGGUGUUUAUCUAUUUCUGCAGGGGUUUAUCAGAAAAUAGGGAGAGAAGGCCCACAUGUCAUGUUUACAACGAGAUAAUUACGUGCCGCGCAAUUUUCCUCAAUCUAGAAGGAUCCAGAAGCCACGGGAACGAACGGGACGCGAAUCGGGCUCGGGAGCUGGGCGGCCGCCCACCCCCCUUGGGCGCCCGCCCUGGCCAGGAAGCCAAUCAGGACUCUGUUUCGGGACAACUCUCCACCGACCUAAAGGAUCAAUCUAAACCAUACAAUCUAUGUCGGUUUGAUCCAAUGGCUCACGUUCACUUGAGGGGACUAUAAAACCAGACCCCCUGGCCCCUGGAGGAGAGGAGGAGAAAUCAUUAUUCAGAGGUAGCCAUCAAAGUUAGGGUUUAGAGCUUCUCUCCCACAGAGAAUUAGAAUUAGCUACUCCCUAAUCCUUCAAGUUUAGAGGUUGAUUAGAUAGCAAUUAGAGAAGUAGAGCACUACGCUCUGGAUUCGGAUCUUCGGUAAUAAAGAUUGGUAUUAUUCAUAUCUUUCUCUAAUUCUAUUGUUCUAAUUGCAUUAUGUCUUUAAUUAUUAUGUUAUUAGUUUGCUCUAGUUCUAUAUUUGAUAUAGUUAUGAUUGAUAAUGAGUUUAUGUAUAAGUUUGCAAAGCGCUUAGCUCUUGUCGCGAGGGAGUUAAGUGAUAGAUCACAUGUGAGCGUGGUGCUUAGAUGUUAUUUAUCUGCAAAUGUAUCCUAUUGGCCGAGUCGUGUGGUAGUUCGCGAUAGUGACAGCUUCGUUGAUUCUUAUAUAGUCCACCCUCCGUUGAUAGGACAGGCAGAACCGGUAUUGUGGAGUAAGUCAUGCGAUGUUCUGAUUUACUUUAUCAAUGUUCCUUAUACAUGAAUGAAGAGUCUUUUAUGCUAUAUAUGAUCUUGUAGAUAACUAGAGUAGAUUAUGACUUAGUAGUUAGUAGAUAACUUAGAAUCCAUUCUCUAGCUAAUCCGACAUCACCUACAUAUAUGAGGAGUAGUCUAUUUUCUAAUCGCUGUGUUAUCUACCCAUGAACUUAUACUUUAUUAUCAUUAUCUUUAUGGUUUACCCCCUGCUAAAGUAUGUGACUGUGUGAUGAGUUUCUCAUUAGUAAUCAUGUUCUUGCAAGUUUAUCUCUAGUCUAUGCCUUGAUAGAUUUUGCCCCCUUUUAUUUUAAUUCCAUCUUCUUGAGAUCCCCUAAGCAAAAUUAUAACGGUACCUGGAAUACUUAUCCUGGUGAAAUGCUACAAUGAGGUGUUUUAUCUGUGCGCUUGCGGAUAGAAUAAAUUAUUUUCUAGAGAGCCUUUACAUUUAUAAAUACCUUUGUACACUCUGGCGCCAUGCUAGGGAUGACAACCUAGUAUCUAAGUGGUGUUAGCUAGUGUCAACAGCUGCUCUCAGCCGGUUUAUCUCUAGCCUGGGGGAAAAAGGCCUCCACUUUUUCAAACUUCUAAAAGCAUCGGAAAAAUUCUCCUGGAUAGAGGAAGCUAACGCUGCGUUCACCCAGCUCAAAACUUUCCUCACCUCUUGUCGGUGUUUUCCCCACGGGGGGUCACACCAACGAGUAAAUUUGUAUGCGUGCUCCCUUUCCUAGAUGGUGAUGCAAGAAGACACAGAGAUUUAUCCUGGUUCAGGCAAGAGAAGGCCCUAAGUCCAGCGGGGGAGGAAAGUUUGUAUUAUCUUGCACCUAAGUGCUUGUACAGGGGCGAAUACAAGCGUGGUAUGGAGUAUGGGAGUUCUACUGCGUAUGGGUGUAGUGUUGCCUGUGUCUUAUCUAUUCCCGGGUCCUUCCUUUUAUAGCACCAAGGAGAGACCCAGGGUACAUGUGUAGGUGUCAGAGUAGGGGUCGAUAGAAGCAUGGCGCGCUGACCUACUCGAGGCCUCUGUACCAGCGUGGUCUCGAGCCGUCCCGUCUCGGCAGCUUGGUGAUGAUCACGCCUGCUCCUGUAUCCUGCUCUGCGCGCCGUCUCGGGCUGGUUCACCGGUCGCACGCUUGUACGGUAUGGCGGCAGAUCCGGCGGAGCGGUUGCGGUGUUGUCAGUCGACGCUCAACUUGUCUCCAAGAAGGAAUCAUGUCUGGUCGAGGGUUGAACGCUGUGCAACGCCCUGAUAUCCGUAGCGCUGACCUUGGUUGUCUCGAGGGGGUCCUGAUUAGACGUUCCAUUCCUGUUUCCCGCGUCCUGACAUGCCCUGGGUCGUUUGGUGGGGAAGGCUGCAAAAAGAACGACGGGACGGGUGCCUGUUCCCUACCACGCUUCCCGUGAUCAGCGCGUUAGGUGGGAAAGCGACAGGUGCAUUAAAUGCCCUGGCUCUCGUGCGUGCGUCAGGCGGCGGGCGGCGUCCUUGCGCUCGACGCCUCCUGGAUCGCGCGAGCCCGUUUCCGUAUUCGACGGUAGCUGGUGCUCGACCCCUGAUCGAUUCGCUCGACGCCAUUUCCGUCUUCGAGGCUGCGUUCGUCGACGACCGCGCAUAUGUAUAACUAGAGCGUCGGGUCGAGGGCCUUGACCCGCGUAUGGGUAAUCUCGUUAUGUGCAUCGGUGAGGGUACCCCUUACUGAUACCCUCAACAGUAGCCCCCGAGUCUCCAUUUGAGCGAUGGCGCUCGAGUGGAGGGUCUGUUUUGCGAUCGAAUUUCCGUGGGGGCGCGCGAGCAACCCCGCGGGGGUAGCCCCCGAGCCCCUGGAGGAGUUUUUGACUCCUUCGAGGGUUAUAUUGCCUAAUUCGUAGAAGCGCCGUCGACACCAGUGGUGGAGGGUUCGGAUUGGCUCGUUUUGUGCGGAGGUUUCGACGUACUCUCGAUAGAGCGAGCGUCGUCCACCCCAAAUUGAGUUCAUAGUGGGUAGUCCAAGUGAGAACCUGUGCCCCUUUCGAGGGGGUCAGCUGUAGCCCGGAGGCGUUCUCAUAAAGCAGGGUCGACGUGGUCGGGGAUACUGGUCUCAUUCGAUAGAGUCCAGCGGCUUGACGCCUCCCGUCGGGGGGAUUCCUCUCGACUGUCUCGACCCUACCUUGGACAUCGCCAGCGAGUCUUCGAGGCGGGCCUCGAUCUUCGACCGCUCGCUGGGGAUCCCUGACUCUGGUGCUCGAGAUCGGCUGUCGAACCCUUUCGGUGGGCCAGCCAUCGACCUCUCGAGACUCUCGUGGGCGCAUCCCUUGGCUUACUAGGUAAGGAAAGAGCCGCGACGGUUCGCCUUUUUGCCUGUUGGGCGCGUCUUUUUAGGUGGAGACGUUACAACACUACGUCGACGUGGGAUUCGGAGCGCCCCACCUGUGAGGAGGGAAAGGACUGUUAGAUGGCGCAUUUAUGGGGGGAGUUACCUCAUUUCUCGGAUCUAUCCGUUGGCGGACUGCUGCCUAUAAAUACGCCGUGGCGUCGCCGCCGUUCUUUCUUCCACCUUCCGCCUUCUUGCCUUCGUCCUUUCGUUGCCUUAGCUCCCUUGUUGUCUCACGCGCGCGCGCAUCCCCUCGAGCGGUAGCGGAUCCACCGUCCUUCCGGCCAAGAUGCCUGUGAGGCUCGUCGCCGCCGACGACUGGCGCCCGUCGUCGAUAACGGAGCGCCGGUUGCUAGAUCUUGAGAGAGAGGGACUCCUGCGACGCCGCACCUCGCUGUCAUCGCCGGAGUGGAUUGCGCCGCCGGCGGGCCACAGGGAGCACCAGCCGCCAGAGGGCUACGUGGUGUCGUUCGCCAAAUUCCACCGAUACGGCCUCGUCGCUCCCCCGAGCCGCUUCAUGCGGGCACUCUGCCUCCACUAUAGGGUGGAGCUUCAGCAUUUCUCCCCGAACGCCAUCACCGUCGUGGCGGUCUUCGCCGUGGUGUGCGAGGGCUACCUCAGGUUGAUGCCCCACUGGGAGCUGUGGCUCCACCUCUACAGGGGCGAGCUUUUCAACGCCCCCACCGGAACCACUGGCGUGAGGAAGCAUGUGCGGGCCGGGUGCCUUAACCUGGUGCUGAAGACGAAGAAGACGGAGAGGCCACGCGAGUACAUCCCGGUGGGGUUGUCAUCGAACCACGCCAGAUGGGACUCCCAGUGGUUCUACCUGAGGAACGACGACGGUCUCUUCCCUGCUUACACCGGUCGUCUGAUUACGGAGCGCCCGGACAACUGGACAUACGGCGUCGUCCAGGAGCACCAGUCGCGGCUCGACCCCCUCCUCGACGCCCUGAAGAAGCUACGCCUGGAGGGCCUGUCCGCCGCUCUCGUCCUCUCGGCCGUCCAUCGUCGCAGGGUCCUCCCACUGAUGUCUCGGCCGCUGAGGAUGGAUGAGAUGGGGCCGGGCGUUUCGUCCCGAGAUCUCGAGGCAUGCCGGAUGUCCAACGAGGCUCUGGCAGACGAUGAAACCGCUGCUCGGGUUAGGGCGGCCAUCGCCAGCGACUUUAAGUUGGAGCAUGUCAACGACUUCCCUAUGAGGCCCGACGAAGGCUCGAUCGACCUGGUAUGCUCUUCUCUCGCGCAUAGCUCUGAUUCUGGAUUUCCCUCGAUCCUUUUUAAGCCUACCUUUGUUCUAGCAGGGACGCAUUGAUGUCCGGUCUUCGAGGCCCCCUGUGAAGGAGGACGAGGUCGACCGCGACAGACGGCGCUAGUCCGCCGAGAAGCUGAAGUCCGCCAAGGACUCUGCAAAGAAAGGGGAGAAAAAGAAGAACCUCGACCGCCAAGCAUUAGAGGCGCGUCGAGCUAAAUCCAGGCAGAGGGGGGAGCCUGAGGAAGAAUCCCCUAGCGACGACGACGAUGAUGACGAGGACAGCGACGACUCCGAGGGGACGGCGUCACGCCUUGACCGGAUCCUCGAGGGUCCGCCUCGAGGCGACGUCGACGCCCCCCAGAUGGAAACUCCAAAGGAGGGUCCUGGCGGAUCUCACCGCCCUCGGGCCGACACCCCUCCUGCGCUCAUGGCUGGUCAGCUCGCGCCGCGCCCUCCUCCAGCGCCUAGGGGGGCGGCCAUGCUAGGCCAUAGGCGACGGGGCCACUGACUCGUGGUCGCACCGCGGCCUCCGAGAAAGGAGAGGCCGGCCGCAGGAGCGCCAGUCCCGGUGCCCGUCAAGCGGGAGUUGCUGCGCCAAGGCCAGCGCCUGCCCUCGAGGGGCCUGGAGCCUUGACACAGGGUGGCUCGAGGCCCACCGGUCGGGGCGCCGGGAGGUGAGCUGUUCUCCUUGUGGGGUAAGCUUCUUCGAUACUGUGACUUUUGUUUUCCCGUUCCUCUGCAUUUUCUCGUAUGCCGAUCUUUUUACGCUCAUCCCUUUCUUUUCUCCGGCUAAAGUGGACACUCGAGCAGGCCCAGCCUUCAAUGGCGAAAAGGCUCAAAGCGGGAGCAGUCUCCAAAGAGCCAGGUUUGUAGCUUACUUCUGGUCUCGUGACGUUCUUGCAAGCCUUUAUUCUUCUUUUUGCAGGCUCGUCCGACUCUCAACCUCCGGCCGACGCCAAGAGUGCUCCGCCUCGUCCCGAGCCUACCCCGUUGCCGUCGACGCGUGGCGAAGCGCCCCAAACUCAGGUGCAAGAAGGAGCCCCCGAGCCUCCUCGAUUGGGGGUUGAGGCGGACCCCAUCACCAUCAGCGACACGUCUGGCGGUAACGAGGCGUCUGGGGAUGCCCGCCCUAUGGAGGAGGAGGCGUCGACCUCCCUCAUCGCGGGACGGACUCCCUGGCCCGCCGGCCUUCGAGGAGCAGAAGAAGAAAGAGGAGGGGGAGGAGGAGCGGGAGCACGAGGCAAUGCGGCAGCCGCAAGAGCAGCAGCAGCAACAGCAGCAGCAGGAGGAGGAACAGCAGCAGCAAAUGCUCGAGGGGCAGCAGCAGCAACAUCAGGGGGGCCAAGAAGAGGGACCCAUCGAGCCCCCACCUCACGGUCUGCCCCAACCAGUACCACCGGUGCCGCAAGAGCCCGGCGAGCAGGAAGAAGAUUUGCCGGUGUACGGCCCUCCAACCCCAGCGUGGCUCCUUCCGGGGGCACCUGCCGCGAUCCGGGCAGAGCCGGGGCGAGCGGACGGUGUGGUGGCACUCGCCUGCAUGAUGCGCACCCCCGCCGACCCCGAGUCCGAGAUCAGGAGGACGAUCUACUGCAUGGAUGGGAUCACCCCAGGGUUCCUCCAGGAGCGUCGGGAGUGGGAGGACCGCUUUCCCUCUGAGGAGGACGAGAUCAGGACGUCGAGGAGUAAGGACGGUACCUGGAAGACGGUGGACGACGACGGGCGGUUCCCAUGCCUCGUCGACCUGUUCUUGCGUCAUGGGGGCUCCCUCGAGACCGUCGAGGACCUUAUCCGCGGUGUCAAGGCGCGGGCUGACCGAGAGAUGGAGCACUGGUGCCCCGAUCGGAUCCGCAUCCGGGCUUCCACCGAUCCGUCCGAGCCCAACAUCUUCCUGGACGACAGGAAGGAGGCGAAAAAAUGGGAACACAUCGAGGAGCUCCGCCUUUGGAUGAAGCACGUGGUGGGGCUCCUAUCGGACGUCAUCAACAACGGGCUCGGGCCGGCCUACUUCGUAAGUAUUUUUUGGUCCUUAAUUCUCAUAGAUCCUUUGGUUUUGUGUUCUAAUCGUUCGACCCUCGGCUCGUAGGACAUGAAAGAGACCUCCCGUAUCAAGUCGAGCUUCCUUCAUGCCACAAGAGGAGGCUGGGAGCAGCUCCCCGUCCUCAAGGACCAACUCCUCGAGUCGCAAGAAAAGCUCCUUAAGGCCUAUAAAGACCUCAUAGCGCUCGAGGAGGAGAAGAAGGCGAGGGAGGCUGCCUUGGUCGAGGCUCGAGAGGCCUCAAGGAAGGCGGAGGAGGAGACGACGCUGCUGCGGGAGCGGGCUCUGACAGUCGAGGAGGCCGCAUCCAAAGCCCGGGAGGAGGCCCUGUCCUACAAGAAUGUCAUUGUCGAUCUGGACAAGGAGAAGGGCCUUCUCAAGACCAACCUGGACUCCCUCCGAGAAUCCUUCCAAAAGAUGAAGGUGGCGUAUGUGGACAACGAGGUCGCCAGGGGUGCCGCAGAGGACGCAAAGAAGAAGGCCCUCAAAGACCUCGAGGCGGAGCGGGCUCGAUCCCGCAGGCUCUCUGACGACGUCGAACGUCUGAAAGGAGAGCUGUUGGAGAAGAGUGGGGCCAUUGCUCAGGCUGGUAAGGUGAUCGAGGAUCUCCGCGUUGCUAACACUGAGCUGGCACGGUCCAACAAAGAGAUCGAGAGGGCCAACACCAGACUGGUCGGCGAGAACACGGCCCUGGAGGAGAGUGUCCGCGGUACGUUUCCUUUGUCGGAUUUCUUUUUCGAGGUGUUCUUGGUUUUUCCUAAAGCUUCUUGUAUUGGCAUUUACAGGGCUUAAGGACGAACUCUUAGCCGCCCAAGUCGAGGCCCGUAGUGCUAAGGCCCAGCUCGAGGCGGAGGUUGCUUUGAACCGUCGAGUGCGGACGGCGAUAAAUGACCUCUCGACCUCUUGGGAGGUCGAGCCUAUGGACGAGUCGAAGGAGGACGCUCGAGGCGACGCACUGGUCGACCAGCUGUGCUAUUUUGGCGCGAUGCUGAGAGAUCGGGUGCGGGAUGCCCUCCACAUCGGGGUGAAGCGGGCGAUGGUGGUUGUCUGCUCGGGCUUCUCCUACGACAUGGAAGUGGUGUCCCACGGCUUCGUCACCGAUAUCUCUAAGACCGACGCGGAGAAUGAAGAGAGGCUCCACGCCUUGAUCGACGACGCGGAGGCUCCUGGAGAGAGGCUGGCCAAGCUUUUUGAGCCUGAGGUGCUUCCUCCUGAGACUAGCUCGGGCUUAGGUGAGGGUGGUGAGGAUCGUGCUGAAGACUGAGGCCUGCGAGCCUGCUUAGGGUGCCUGGGGCCCCUUGUAUGAUACUCUGUUAACUUUUCUAUAAGUAGUACAAUGUCUUUUUGUGACUGUUUAAUGUUUAUCUAUCUUCCCGCUCGAGGUUCUUUUAUUUCUCUUUGCGCCUGCGUAUGUACUCCUUGUUCGAUCUUUCAUAAAAAACAACCUCGAUCAUCUCAAGGGUGAGGAAGUGAGUAGAGUUUCCAUAUCCCGGGGGCGUAGGAGUUCUCAGGCUCGUUAUCCCUCGGCCCUUAAGGGGCUCGAGGCGCCUCAAUUACUCGAUCGUGCAAGGUUUACUGAGUAAGGAAGAAAGAAUUUCUUGGCUUUUUCGACACUUGGGGGGGGGUCGCCCCCCUGGUAGCCCCCGAGGGGGUACCGACUAUGAUGGGUCAUAGUUGGUACUCCCUUCUAAUGUCAAGAUUUGGAAGAAAGUAAAUCGCUUGAGGGAAAGGCUUCAUUUAUUCAUACAUUCGUUUACAAGGCCUUGGUACAAAAUGUGCGUAGGAACAUAAAGUUGUGAACUUCUAGGGGUAGAAUCGACGUAGCUGUUCGAUGUUCCACGCGUUGGUGAAGAUCGCCCCCUUUCCGUCCGCGAGCUUGUAUGUCCCUGGCUUCAAGACCUCGGCCACCACGUAUGGGCCCUCCCAUGGUGGAGUCAGCUUGUGGCGUCCUUGAUUGCUUUGCCGCCGUCGUAGGACAAGGUCGCCCACGUUUAAGUCCCUUUUGCGCACGUGCUUGUCGUGGUAACGUCGAAGUUUCUGCUGAUAUCUGGCAGAGUUGAGGAGGGCCAUGUCUCGAGCUUCCUCGAGUUGGUCGACCGCGUUCUCUUGGGUCUCCUUAUUUGAUUGCUCGUUGUACGCUUUGAGUUGGGGGACCCAUACUCGAGGUCCGUGGGGAGGACAGCCUUAGAGCCGUAGACCAUGAAAAAUGGGGUGUAUUUUGUGGCCCUGCUUGGUGUUGUCCUUAGGCUCCAUAGGACCGAGGAAAGCUCCUCGACCCACUUCUUGCCGAAUUUCUUCAAGCGAUUGUAGAUCCUUGGCUUGAGUCCUUCCAAAAUCAUGUCGUUGGCACGCUCGACCUGACCGUUAGUUCGAGGGUGGGCUGCAUACCAGUUCACACAGAUGUGAUGCUGAUCGCAGAAGUCCAAGAACUUUUUGCCGGUGAACUGAGUGCCGUUGUCGGUGAUGAUGACGUUGGGAAUCCCAAAUCGGUGGAUGAUGUCGUUGAAGAAAAGGACGGCCUGCUCGGAGCGGAUGUUGGUGAUGGGUCGAGCCUCGAUCCAUUUGGAGAAUGUGUCGAUGGCCACCAUCAAGUGGGUGUACCCUCCUUUCGCCUUUUGUAGGGGCCCUACUAAGUCGAGCCCCCACACCGCAAAUGGCCAUGUGAUGGGAAUCAUCUGAAGAGCGUGGGCGGGCAGAUGCGUCUGUUUGGCGUAGAACUGGCACCCAUGACAUGAGCAUACGAGCUCGAUGGCAUCUGCUACAGCCGUUGGCCAGUAGAAGCCUUAUCGGAAGGCGUUCCCUACGAGGGUCCGUGGAGCAGCGUGGUGGCCGCAAGCCCCCGAGUGUAGGUCCUCGAGGAGUUUCCGGCCUUCUUCCACGGUGAUGCAACGCUGCAGGACCCCCGUCGGGCUUCGUCGACUCAUUGCCCUCGCCAUAGAUCACGUACGACUUGGCCCAUCGAGCGAUACGGCAGGCCUCAGACCGAUCUUCUGGCAGCUCGCAGCGAAUUAGGCAGUCGAGGAACGGUGUGCGCCAGUCGAACGGUCGACCGAGGCGCUGUUCUACUUCCAUCACCUCAGCCGCCAUCAACAGCGUGUCGACGGUAUCGGUUGGCUGAGCAGGAGCGGUGUCGACGCCAGCCCCCGAGCCCAAGUCGACGGAUGGCUCGUGAAGAUCUCUCGAGAGCGCGUGAGGUGGUACCGUGCCUCGGGUUGACGCGAUCUUGGCGAGUUCGUCGGCUGCCUCGUUGUAGCGUCGGGCGACAUGGACGAGCUCGAGGCCAUGGAAUUUGUCCUCGAGUCGACGGACUUCUUUGCAGUAGGCCUCCAUUUUCGUGUCGUGGCAGCUUGAAGUCUUCAUCACUUGGUCGAUGACGAGUUGGGAGUCGCCUCGGACGUCGAGGCGUCGGACUCCUAGCUCGAUGGCGAUCUUGAGACCGUUGACGAGGGCCUCAUACUCUGCGACAUUGUUGGAUGCAGCAAAGUGAAUCGUGAUGACGUACCUCAUAUGGACGCCCAAGGGAGAGAUGAACAGCAGGCCAGCCCCGGCCCCCGUCUUCAUGAGUGACCCGUCGAAAUACAUCGUCCACAGCUCCGACUGGACCUGAGUCAGGGGAAGCUGGGAGUCUGUCCAUUCCGCGAUGAAGUCUACCAGAGCUUGCGAUUUGAUGGACUUGGGAGCUCGACCGACCAUUUAGCUAUUCUUCCUAUGGCCUCCUUACUCUGGAUUAUCUCACCCAGGGGGAAAGACGAGACCACCGUGAUAGGGUGAACGAGGAAGUAGUGCUGCAGCUUACGGCGGGCGAGGAUUACGGCAUAGAUCAGCUUCUGGAUUUGGGGGUAAUGUGCCUUGGUCUCCGAGAGCACCUCGUUGACGAAAUAUACUGGCCUCUGGACUGGCAACGCAUGCCCCUCCUCCUGCCUUUCGACCACCACCGCUGCACUGACAACCUGGGUCGUCGAGGCAACGUAAAGGAGCAGUGGUUCCGUAGGUUGAGGUGGGACUAGGACUGGUGCUAAGGUCAGUGUUUUCUUCAGAUUUUCGAGGGCUCCCUCAGCCUCGGGGGUCCAAGAAAAACGCUCGACCUUCUUCAGGAGUCGAUACAGCGGUAGCGCCUUUUCUCCUAAUCUCGAGAUGAAACGGCUCAGCGCCGCUAGGCAUCCCGUGACUCUCUGCACACCUUUGAUGUCUCGAAUCGGCCCCAUCCUUGUGGUGGCCGAGACUUUCUCGGGGUUGGCCUCGAUGCCACGCUGGGAAACAAUGCAGCCCAAGAGCAUGCCUCGAGGCACACCGAAAACGCAUUUCUCGGGAUUGAGCUUGAUCUGGUUGGCGCGUAAGCAGCUAAAAGCGAUCUCGAGGUCCUGGAUCAGGUCUCCUUGACGCUUUGAUUUGACGACUAUGUCGUCGACAUAGGCCUCGACCGUCGACCCUAUAUGCUUGCCAAAUACGUGGAGCAUGCAGUGUUGGUACGUGGCUCCAGCAUUUCGAAGCCCAAACGGCAUCGUUACAUAGCAGUACAUCCCGAAAGGUGUGAUGAAAGAGGUCGCGAGCUGGUCGGACUCUUUCAUUUUUAUUUGAUGGUAACCAGAAUAUGCAUCAAGAAAAGAAAGGGUUUCACAUCCCGCAGUAGAAUCAACAAUUUGAUCAAUACGUGGUAACGGAAAGGGAACUUUUGGACAUGCUUUAUUUAAACUCGUAUAAUCGACACACAUCCUCAUUUUCCCAUUCUUUUUCUUAACUAGUACAGGGUUUGCUAACCAGUCCGGAUGAUGAACCUCCUUGAUGAAUUCGGCCGAUAAAAGCUUGUGGUCCUCCUCGCCAAUGAUCUUGCGCUUCUCCUCGUCGAAUCGGUGCAACCGUUGCUUUACUGGCUUGGAACCGGCUCGAAUCUCCAAGGAGUGCUCGGCGACUUCCCUCGGUAUGCCUGGCAUGUCCGAGGGACUCCAUGCAAACAUGUCGGCGUUCGCACGGAGAAAGUCGACGAGCACAGCUUCCUAUUUGGGGUCGAGGUCGGCGCUGAUCGUCAGCACCUUGCCGUCGGAGUUGUUGGGGUCGAGCGGGAUCUUCUUGGUUCCCUCUACUGGCUCGAAGCCGCCCGCGUGGCGUUUGGGCUCUGGAGCCUCAGCGGCCAGGGCCUCGAGUUUUGCGACGAGCUCGGUGGAGUCCUUGACCGCCUCCCCAUACUCGACGCACUCGACGUCGCAUUCGUAAGCAUGCUCGAAGGAGGAGCUGACAGUGAUGACGCCUUUGGGACCGGGCAUCUUCAGCUUCAAGUAGGUGUAGUUGGGUAUAGCCAUGAACUUGGUGUAGCCCGAGCGCCCGAUGAUGGCGUGGUACGUGCCCCGAAACCCGAACACCUCAAAGGUGAGGGUCUCCUUCCUGAAGUUGGUCGCCGUGCCAAAGCAGACCGGUAAGUCGAUUCGACCUACUGGCAGCGCCUUUUUCCCUGGCACAACGCCGUGGAAACCACCGGCGCUUGGUUGAAGCCGUCCCCUGUCGAUGCCGAGGAGGUCAAGGGUCUCGAGGUACAUGAUGUUGAGGCUGCUGCCUCCGUCCAUUAGCACCUUCGAGAGCCUUGUAUUGACGAUGAUGGGGUCGACGAUGAGCGGGUAGACGCCCGGGGCAACCACCUUGUCGGGGUGAUCCUCUCGGUCGAAGGUGAUGGGUGUGCUCGACCAGCUGAGGUACUGGGGCACCGCCAUUCUUGCCGCGAAGACCUCACGGCGUUCCCUCUUGCGCUGCCUUGCAGUCAACUGCGUCGAGGGCCCACCAUAGAUCAUGUAGCAGUCGUGGACAGCAGGGAAACCAUCGUCGUCCUUGUUGCCCUCCUUGUCGCUGCCCUUCUCCUUCUUGGGGUCGUCGCGCGCGUCCUUUCUGAACCCCAGGCUGUCGAAAUGCUUUUUCAGCAUACGACAAUCCUUGAGCUUGUGGUUGGCUCCUCCUUUGUGGUAAGGUCAUGGUUCCUCUAGCAUCUUAUCAAAAAUACCUCCAUCUGGGGGCCUCGAGGCUUCUUCCGCUCCAUGGCGGCGACGAGGACGUCGUCGAAGUUCUCCUGCUUGAACUGCCGCACCUUCUGCUUCUUCUUGUUCUUCUUGAGCCCUUGACUGGGGGUCCCGUCUUCAUCGGCAGGCUGCUUGCCUUUCCUUCCUUCACAACCGAAGAAGGCACCGACUGCUUUCUCCCCUGCUGCGUAGUUUGCCACUACGUCCAUGAGCUCAUCGACGGUCUGAGGUCGGUUCCGACCCAAUUCCCGCACCAAGUCUCGACUGGUGGUACCAGAGACAAAUGCCAGGAUGACGUCGUGGUCAGGGAUAUGUGGCAGCUCGGUGCGCUGUUUUGAGAAGCGUCGAGCAUACUCUCGAAGAGUUUCUCCUGACUUCUGUUUGCACUUGCUGAGGUCCCACGAGUUCCCGGGCCGUAUGUAGGUCCGUUUGAAAUUACCCUCGAAGACUCUAACCAAAUCGACCCAGUCGUGGAUCUGAUUGGCUGGGAGUUCCUCAAGCCAUCGACGGGCGGUGUCGGAGAGGAAGAGCGGUAGCUGUCUGAUGAUGGCUCGAUCAUCUCCUCGAGCGCCUCCUAGCUGACAGGCUAACCUGAAGUCUGCCAGCCACAGUUCUGGUUUGGUUUCACCAUUGUAUUUUGCGAUGCUGGUUGGGGGUCGGAAUGGACUGGGCAGGGGUGUGCUGCGGAUUGCUCUACUAAACACCCGUGGGCCUGGUGGCUCGGGGGCAAUCCGGUCCUCGUCGCUGUCGUACCUCCCACCGCGAUGCGCGCUGUAAUCGCGCUAUUCCGCGUCCCCAUACUGACGGCGUCGAUUCUCUUCGAUGUCAUGCCGCGUGUCGUGUCGACGCUGAUUGUCGAUAGGGAGGACGAGAGUGGUCUUUCUUCCUCGAGGAGGUGGCUGUUGAUGGACUGACACCUCCUUUUCGUUUUGGGGUGGCUCAUCGCGCUUUUCAGUGGCGGCUCCUCGUCGUCGAGAAGCUGAGCUUUCGGCUUGUUGAACCGCCGCUACCUGGAGCAGAGUCUGCACCUCGUCUCGAAUGCGUCGAGCUUGGGAGUUCGAUGGCUCUGGCAUGUUGCGUAGCAGCAUUGUUGCUGCCACUACGUUUUGGCCUGCUCGUGGGAAGCGGCUGACAGGUUGCUCUGGUUCCGCGUCUCCGACGAUUUGCCGGUGUACCUCUCGAGCUCGCCUACGGACACUUCCGCCGGGCGGGUAAGGCAAGUCUUGUUUGAGGAUUUGCUCGAGCACGACGAGGCGCUCACGGUCUUCGUCGAGCUUUGUCUUGAGCUCUCGUAGCUGCGCAGCCCUGUCUUCCUGUGGAAGGGGGUCGACCUGUCCGUCGUUCCCAGGCGUCCUGGGGUCUUCCCUUGCUGCAGGGACUCGACCGCCGGCAGCAGCAUCCUGUGUCUCGUCGGUAGUUUCUACCGCCCCGUCGAUGUGAUAGCAUUCCCUAGUUGGGUCGUAGCUAUCGGUCUCGGAGUCGGAGUCCGGCUUGGCGGCGUAGAAACAUCCACGUCCCUCCUCCAGCAGCCGCUGUCUGAGUGAGGUGAUCGUGUACCGUCCAGGGCCUAGGCGACGGAGGCCUCGUACCUGGGAGAAAUCCGGCUAUUCGGACGUCGGCCGCUGCAUCUCAGAGUUACGUGGGAGGACCAUUGGUCUUUCCACGUACGUCUGGGCGUUCAGGCAUAUCGCUCUGGCGAGCGACGCCGCGGCGUUGUCCAACCCGAAUGGCAGUGCCCUUCCUGGGGUGACCAACCCGUGUGGAAGUAAUCUGGCGGCGGGGGAGAGCGCGCGGGGCACGUCACCUCUUGUCGUCGUGUGAUGCUGAGCCGGCACGUCCACGGUCCUGGCUCGCGGUGUUACCGGCUGCUGCGUCACCUCCUGCCUAGCACGAACAGCUGGUCGUGACGAGACAGAGGGGCGACGAUGAUACUGCCCACGCCUCUUCUUGGGCGGGGAGGCAUGAUGGCGAGGGCGUCUCGGGGCCCUCAACCGUGCUGGCGCAACGCGGGCUCCUCCUGGUCCUUUGAUCGAGAGCAAGAUCAUGUCAUAGCCAGAGCCGGUCGACAUGAACUCAAGACUCCCGAACCAAAUCACGGUGGAGUGCGGGAUCGGCGAAACGGGAGUGGCCAUCUGGAAAGGAGUGGGAAAUUGAUGAAAAACACGCAGGACCCCUACCUGGCGUGCCAACUGUCGGUGUUUUCCCCACGGGGGGUCACACCAACGAGUAAAUUUGUAUGCGUGCUCCCUUUCCUAGAUGGUGAUGCAAGAAGACACGGAGAUUUAUCCUGGUUCGGGCAAGAGAAGGCCCUACGUCCAGCGGGGGAGGAAAGUUUGUAUUAUCUUGCACCUAAGUGCUUGUACAGGGGUGAAUACAAGCAUGGUAUGGAGUAUGGGAGUUCUACUGCGUAUGGGUGUAGUGUUGCCUGUGUCUUAUCUAUUCCUGGGUCCUUCCUUUUAUAGCACCAAGGAGAGACCCAGGGUACAUGCGUAGGUGUCAGAGUAGGGGUCGAUAGAAGCAUGGCGCGCUGACCUACUCGAGGCCUCCGUACCGGCGUGGUCUUGAGCCGUCCCGUCUCGGCAGCUUGAUGAUGAUCACGCGUGCUCCUAUAUCCUGCUCUGCGAGCCAUCUCGGGCUGGUUCACCGGUCGCACGCUUGUACGGUAUGGCGGCAGAUCUGGCGGAGCGGUUGCGGUGUUGUCAGUCGACGCUCAACUCGUCUCCAAGAAGGAAUCAUGUCUGGUCGAGGGUCGGACGCCGUGCAAUGCCCUCAUAUCCAGAGCGCUGACCUUGGUUGUCUCGAGGGGGUCCUGAUUAGACGUUCCAUUCCUGUUUCCCGCGUCCUGACACGCCCUGGGUCGUUUGGUGGGGAAGGCUGCGAAAAGAACGACGGGACGGGUGCCUGUUCCCUACCACGCUUCCCGUGAUCAGCGCGUUAGGUGGGAAAGCGACAGGUGCAUGAAAUGCCCUGGCUCUCGUGCGCGCGUCAGGCGGCGGGCGGCGUCCUUGCGCUCGACGCCUCCUGGAUCGCGCGAGCCCAUUUCCGUAUUCGACGGUAGCUGGUGCUCGACCCCUGACCGAUUCGCUCGACGCCAUUUCCGUCUUCGAGGCUGCGGUCGUCGACGACCGUGCAUAUGUAUAACUAGAGCAUCGAGUCGAGGGCCUCGACCCGCGUACGGGUAAUCUCGUUAUGUGCAUCGGUGAGGGUACCCCUUACUGAUACCCUCGACACCUCUGUUGGCGGUUCUUAAUGACAUAUUUACCCCGCCAACGUAGUCCAUGCAAAGGAAGAAAAGCAUGUAUUUUACUCACAUAUACUUAUUAAAUGCUUACCAAGUUCCACAUGUAGUGCAAGUUGUGUUUUGCAGAUCAUAUACAGGCAUACAGGUGGAAAGCAAAUAAAAAGGCGCAAUCCGACACGUCAAAAAAUGCGCAAAUAAACAAGUACCCAAAAGCCCAAUAUAGAAGUGCAUCAAUUUGCAGGUGGAUCUGGACUCAGGGGCCCGAGAGGAAGGCAACGGGCUUCGCGCCGGGGCCAGCGGGGCCCACCAGGGGGCGGCCGCCCCCUAGGGUCGGCCGACCCUGGCCCAGCCCAUCUCGGCACCGCCUUUCGCAAAGGCGGUGCUGAGCCUAUCCUCCCGCAGUCCCCGCAUGCAAAUUGCAGUUUACACCCUAGGGAACCGACCUUCCCCACCUAUUUAAGGAGGGGGAGAGGGAGGCUCCAUUCAUCUCAUCACAUUCAGAAUCAACACUCCACCUUCAAGGCACUUGGGCACUACCUCUUCUUAGUUUUUCCUUUUAGCUUUUAGAGAGAGAGUUGGGUGAGCUAUCAAGGAGGGCUUGGCUCCUUGGAGAGAAACUUGGGUAUGAAUAAAGAAUAUCUUUACUCCAAGUCCAUGCCUUAUCAUGUCCGAUAUAGUUCUUCAUAUGAACUAGAGUAUAGUUCUUAUGCUAUGGUAUAUGACAUAGAUCAUAGGCCCUGUUUUAUGAUGCUAGCAUAUGAACUAUAAUAUAGUUCUAGUGAAAAUGAUAUGACAUACAUUUUAGUAUAUAGUUCUUAUAGUAUAAUGCUAGCCUAGGGCUAGUAGUGUAUUAUAUGAACUAGUGCUAAGUGUAUGUUGUAUUAUUCUCACUUAGGACUUUAGUCUAAUUGCUUCAUGUUAAUUAAUUGCCUAGAAAUAGCUUUGUGUGAAGAUGGGGGUUUAUCAUGCUCUUUUGAGUAGGCUCGGGCUUCUUACCUGUCGAUCCGUAGGGUCGGGGACCCGAGGGAGUCUGAGUAGGUUCUUUGCAUGUAAGCAUGGUGCUUGGGUGUAAAGGCCGGGUAAAUGCAUUGUCCUAGUCCACGGUUGAGGGGAUGGCGGCAGGUGGUGACAGCCCUGUCCGUCCUUGGCAUUCCCCCACGUUCGGCUAGGGUGUAGGAGUCUAAAUAGUUGUGGAGGUUGCUGGCAGACCAGUACUCGCGUAACCUCCCAAACCAUCUAAACACAGCCCCGCUGUUGACACGGCCGGCAAGAACUUCGAGCUACGCACCCGCCUGAUCACCAUGGUGUAGGCGAGCCCAUUCUGUGGCUUGCCAAGCGAGGAUGCGAAUGCACACCUUCAACACUUCCUGGAGCUAUGUGACACGAUUGUCAUCAAGGACAUCACUCCUGAUGUAAUUCGGCUCCGCCUCUUUCCUUUCUCCCUCGUGGGGAAGGCGAAGAGGUGGUUCUAUCAAGAUAAGGAAGCUGUCACCACGUGGGCAAAAUGCUCCGCGGCAUUCCUCGCCAGGUUCUUCCCCAUAAGCAAAACCAAUGCUUUGAGGGGAAGGAUUGCCAGUUUUUAACAAAAUGCCAGCGAAACAAUCCCUGAAGCAUGGGAGCGGCUACAAGAGUACAUCCUAAGCUGCCCCCAUCACGGCAUGGAGAACUGGAUGGUGCUCCUGAACUUCUACAAUGGGCUCACGCCCAUGUCGAAGGGACACCUAGACGCCGCCGCUGGAGGCACGUUCCUAUCACUUACCACCGCCGGGGCCAAGGCCCUGAUCGAGAAGAUGGUAGAACACCAAGCUGGGGGGAGGACAGAACUCAACCACCAGCUGCCAAAACACAAAAAGCCAUGCAUACUGUGAAGGAGAUGGAUAUGCUUGCUGCAAAAAUAGAUUUAUUGAUGAAGCAACUCACCGAAAAGAACCAAGAAAACCCCUCGAACUCGGUGAAGGCCAUAGACUCGCACAUGACGUGCGAGGUCUGUGGAGAAGUUGGCCAUUCGGGGAAUGAUUGCCCCGAAACCCAUGAAGACGCUGCCUACAUCAACAAUGGGUUUCGCCAACAAGGAGGCGCCAACCAAGGUAAUGGUUGGAAUAAUCAGUCACACUCUUCAUUCCAAGGUAAUUCGAGUUUUAAUUCGAAUCAACCUUCAUUAAAAGACCUAGUUCUUAGACAAGCUAAAAUAAAUGAAAACAUAACUAAAAAGUUGCUGUCCAAUGAUAAGGUUUUAGAAAACAUAAAUACAAAAAUAGAAAACCUUGCCUCUUCCGUACAAAACAAACUGAGAUUUAAUAAAAUGAUAGAAACACAACUAGCUCAGAUCGCCGCUGCAAUUCCUACUGAGAAUGCGGGUAGACUCUCGGGGCAACCCGAGAACUCUCCCACUAACCAUGUAGGGUGAAAUUCAAACGACGGAAGAGAGUCCUUCUCAAAAAGGACUAUAAACAUUUUUUUUGAGCCUCCGCCGAAGGUAAUCGGUAGUUAUCUUCAAACAAAAAUUUGAAAAAUAUUCAAAAAUUCAUUUUCAACUAGGAAAUAAAAUAAAAUAAUAGAAAAAUAUUUUUUCUAAAUUUUUCGAAAAUAAAAAUUUUACAAAUAAAUGUUGGGCAAAAGUCACUUUUUUAGCUGGAAGUGCAUCAAUAUGCCAACGGAAAACUUCAAAAAACUAGCCGUUGGAAGAUGGAGACAAAAGCUGGGGAGCAGCAGGGCCCACCAGGGGGCGGCCGCCCCUAGGGUCGGCCGACCCCCCCCAACGGCUCUGGCCAACGGCCAGCUGGGGGAGGCUCCUAGCCGUUGCCCUCACCCCGAAUCCACCUGCAUUUUCAAACUAUAAAUACCAGGGGUUCAGGUGUGGCCCUCUCCACCCAUUCUCACAUCACUUCAUCACUUCCAUCUUCACUCUCCAAGCAACACUUUCACAUCUUUGCUAUUUCCAACCAACCACCAGCAGAAACCUCACAAAAAAAUCACCUAUCCAAGCUAGCUAUCCACUGGUGCAAGCAUUGCACCAUGAAAAGGUUCGGCAAAAUAGUUUUGGGGGCGUUUAAAAGAGUCACGAGGUCAUCCUCGAAGCGCCCUAUCGGAGCACUUCCUCAUACUACACCGAUCCCCAAUGGAGUCCUUCCACUGUGGAAGAAUCUACGGAGAUCGAGGAGGUAGAGGAAGAGGUAGAGGAAGAAGAAGAGGAACAAGAGGAGGAACAACAUAAAGAAGGAGGAGCCCACCAAUUCGACUUGGUGGGUGAUCGAGAACAUCAAACCUACAACAUGCUCAAGGACCGGAUCUUCCUCCAUACGCCGGUCUACGACGACUCGCUCCUCUCCGACAUCGGUAUGGACUCUGAAUUCCUCUCCAUAUGGAAAGCCACUGGGUGGGACAACAUUCACCCCAUAACUGAGUAUGGAUCCUAUACCCUUACCAUUCAAUUCCUAUGCACUUUAAGAGAAACAUAUGAAGGUAUUUCUGUUCGUUUAUUUGGAAAUGAAUAUGCUAUCUUUUGGAAAGACUUAAGCAAAUACCUUGGUUUUCAUCAAAGAUGCUCUCUUGAUUUAGUGCAUGCCACAAAAGGGUUUAAUAAGGAUAAAUUUUGGGAAGAAAUCACGGGGCAAGUUCACACUGGAAAAUACUAUCCUAGAAAUGCCCACAUCCAACACCCCACUCUAAGGUUUUUACACCUUUGGCUAUCCAUAACAAUAUUUCCUAGCCAGGGUACCCGCGUUGUGCGAGUAAAUGAAAUGAGGUUACUUUACACGGCUAGAAUGAAAAUAAAAGUUGCGCCUGUGCAAGAAAUUGUAAGGCAUUGGUUAGAUAUAAUCAAGACAACCACCCCUAUCUCUUUGACUUCACUCAUAACACGUUUGGCCACAGCCAUUAGUGCGUUGGAAGGGCAAGAUCUUGAUUAUAUUCAUAUUCCACGCACCCUGAUUAAUGAAACCUAUCUUAUCCAAGGUCACCAUUUGAAAAGAGAUAAUGCGGGCGGUCUUGUGUUUUAUUUCCCAGGGUAUACAAACGUAAUCCGGUUACCUAACCCGGGUCUACGCUUGUAUAACUCUGAGAGACUAACCUUUGAUUUGCAGACAGCUAAAACUGCGCGAAGGCGUAGUGUUUCUGGCAGGGACAUCGGCGGAUCCAGCUCCCAGCCACCACCCUCCUAUACACAGCCGAUCUACCAGUCGGGGUGGGACACACCCGUGCCGACACAAGGUGUUGAGGGGUGGGCUGAGGCGGAUUCUGUAACACCCUAGGUGUUAAGCAUGCACUUAGUCUCAUCAAAGUCAUGCAUAAGCAUUCCCAUCAAGCAUAAGCAUCAUGAGCAUGACACUCUUCUCAAAUUAUGAUUUGAUGUGCUUCACUUCUUGAGUUUAAAUAUUCUAAAAAUAUGAUGCUUGCUUCUAAAAUUGUGAAAUAUUCAAAUUAGGUUGCUUUAUGUGUAAGAAAAAUUUAGAAUAUUUUUGUGCAAUUUUUGGAGCUAUGGAAAUUGAGAAAUGGAAUUUAUACAAAAAUAUCCAAAAAGAAUUUAUUUAAAACCUAGAACUGAGUUUUAACUUGUAAUUCAAAUUCUGUUUGGAAUUUGGUCUUGCUUGUUAAAGCAAAGUUGUAGAGUUUUUGUUUUGGAACAACUUUGUUUUUGGGAGCAAGAGGUGAAAAUGAUUUUAAAUUGGUCCAAAUGAAUUUAGAAAGAAUUUGAGAAAAGAAUUUCAAAAAAAAAAGGAGAAAGGGGGCAGGCGCUGCUGGGCCGACCCGCCUCCCUUCUGGCCCAGCUGGGCAGCGCGGCCCGCUCCCCCUCCCCUCUCUCCCGCGCGCGCGGCGCCCGCCUUGCCCCACCCGGCGCCGGCCACGUGGCGGCCGUACGCAGGCGUUGGACGCGCCGCGGCCGGCCUCCAACCCCCCUGGUCGGGACGCCGACGCAGGCUCCCAGGCCACUCCCUCCAUCCUGUCUCCCCCGCGCCCUCCUUCUCCUUCCUCCUCCGCUCGCACCGCGCAGCAGCAGCCGCUCCUCCGCGCGCCAUUGCCGGAGAGAGCUCCGCCGCUCGUCGCCGGCCGCACCAGAGCCUCAAGCUCGACGCCGAGAGCACCAGGGCACUCGCCGUCGCUAGGGUAAGCUCGUGCGAACGUUCUACCGAGGUGAGAGUCCGUCGAGUGCCGUGAAUCGCUCGCCGGAGUUACCCCGAGCUCGCCGGAGUACUCCGCCGCGACGGAUCUAGCGUUUCCCUGCCUCUUUUCGCUCGUUCUCUGUUGCGCUAGGUCGGUAGGAAGGUGAGGAAGCUCGGAGAGGCGUUUGCGCACGCUCUACCGCGCCGGAGCAGCCUGGCCACGGCGAGCAGCGCCGCCGUGCCGCCAUGCAUGCUCGCCGGAGGUGUUCCGGCCGUCCUCUGGUCGAUCCAAGGGUACCGCUGGGUGCGUCUUGCUGCGGGGAGCACGUUGGUGCUCACCCCGUGGCCGGAGACCUCACCGCCGGCGAAAUCCGCUCGUCGGAGGUGAGCUCCCUCUCGGUCUCGCUGACUGGUGGGGUCGGGGACCCACUGUCAGUCGCAGGGGUACCCCGGUGGGUGUAGAUCUGGGUGUGCGUAGCCUUUUUCGUCGGUUUUCUUGAAAAAGUGUUUUCCAGAAAUUGAUUUAAAGUUUGUAAAAUCUAUAUCUUGAGUUCUACAGCUCCAAAUUGAAUGAAAUAAAUUUUGGUGUGCUCUAUAUUUCCAGAUCUACAGUUUGAUGUAAUUGCAUGUCAUGUUGGAGUAACUUUUCUGUGUGAAUAUAUUUUAUCCAUGAUUUUGUUAAACUUGGAAAAUGCAUAGUAAAUAAAAUAUGGCUCAGAAAAAUGUGAAACUUGAUUUGUUGGCUUUGCAUGUGUGUUUGCUCACUGGGAAAAUGUGGGUACAUAUUAUUUGAUGAAUAAAUGAAUUUAUGGUAAUUUAAAUGCUUGCAUGGCAGUGCUUUAUGAUUUUUAAUAAUUAAAUGGGUCAUGCAAGAAAUCUGGAAAAUUUUGUGGGUGUUUCUUAUGAUGUUAGACAAAUUGUAAAAAUAUGAAAUCUGUUGUUUGACACUUAUAUCACAGUAGAGUGAUUUUACUUACCUUAUCAAUUAAUCUUGUGAUUUUUGUGGCUCAAAAUAAGUAACCAAAAAAUUAUGAAAAAUUUACAGUAGACUUUAUGAUUAGCUAGUAGUCUCCUGUAAUUUUUCUAGAAUUUAUUGAUGAACAGAAUUGCAUGUGAUUUUAAUGAGCCUAGAAAUGAAUAAAGAAAAUUAUGAAUGGUUGCAUAUCUAGGUUGAAUGGAAUAAGUUGGGUUUGGUGUAUCUUUGAAGCAUCCUGUGGGUUACUGAUUGCAUUUGAAAAAUAAUUGUAAAAGAGAAUGCAAUAGAUGUUUAAUCCAAGUGCCUGUUCUUGGAUGAUGUUGCAUACCUUGUGAUGAGCAUGACCAAGUGUAUCAUCCAUGCAUCAUGACAUGGUCCUUUGGUACCUUCUCAUACAAGCAUCCAUUCGGGCAUCUCACACUCCACUCAUGAGCACACAUGCAUCAUACAGGCUCGCAGGAGAACGAGGUGGGACCCGAGGAGCCAGAGGAGACUCAGGAGCAGGAACCUCUGGAAGCACCGGAACCCGGAGAGGAACUGCAGGAGUGUCCGGAUCACCGACCCAGCACGUUUGAGAAAGGCAAGCCCCGGAGCAUUCUAAGUCUCCCUAUUCUCGCUAACUUAUGUGAUGCACUAUACUUGUUCUACUACUGCAUUUAAGCGGUAGGAGUUGCCUGAUACCGUUGCUGCAUAUGUACUCCUUGUUAUUCCUACUCGUUUAUCUACCUUGUCCUAUGUAGAUAGGCGCGGAGUCUAUGCUUAGCUUGCUUAGUCCGGUAGAAGUCGGGUGAUUUCCUGUCACCUGCGAGAUAUAGGUGGAUACCUGCUUGAUUAAGCUUUGGUUGCUUGGGAAAAGGAUGACCAAUUGUGGAAUGAAUUUGGAGACCGGGCAGGGUCUUAUGGUGGGUUGACCAUAGUGCCCCUGCCUGUGUCGAUUAAGGACCGAUCGUUGACGGCCCUCUUGUCAUGUUGAACGCAUGCCCCACACUUAGCUGGAAGGAUAAGUCGUUCCGACCGCGAAGCCUGAGCACUAUCCGGGCCGGGAAUCGGCCCGAUGUACGCGCUGUAUUGGUGAUGGUUGAGGAGAACGACGAGGGCGCGGCGCGCAACCUUGGUAUACCUUGGAUACCUCGGUCGCCGGAACGGUCCUCGGGUACGGGCGGUGCCUGUCGAACCCGCGAAUUGGUCCUGGAUAGUGCAACACGGUGACCUGUAGCUCACUUGAUCAGUGAGUGUGGUUUGUGUGGGGAAUAAAUUCGCCAGCUGGUUAGAAAUCGAUUCGAAUCGCCAUCGCUCCUGGAUAGUGAGCACUUGACAUGAGCUUCGUCCUCGUAGUAAGGACUAUGGAACACUUGGGUUAUAAUGAUGAAUGGUUUAAGAAAUGCUAUGAUGAGGUACUAUCAUAGUCUCAUACUUGCUUGUAAUAGCACAGGAGCAAACCUAGAUAAUAGGUAAUGAUACUUUCAACUUGAGCAGAUUAAAAGAAGAAAAGAUUUAUGUAGGUUAGGGUAAUAAAACCUUGCGGUCUUUGCAAAAUGGUUGUCAGCUACCCCACUAAAUAGACUUCAUGAUCCUUGAUGAGUCUUUAUUUUAAGUUUAUGACGGGUAAGUCUAGCUGAGUACCUUCUCGUACUCAGGGUUCUAUUCCCAUGUUGUUUUGCAGAUGGUCAAAUGUACUAUGGUUAUUGCAUCCUCUGUCUGUACCCAGCUAUGGGUGAUGACUAGACCAAGGGCGAUGGUCACUCCGUCUCUUCCUUUGCUUUUGUCGGAAUGACCGAACUAUGGCACUGUAUCAGACUUAUCGUGUGUGUUGUAAUUUCGAACUAUGAAGCUUCUGCUACUUGAAGAACUUGGUUUGUAAUAACUUAAGUACUCCGAUGUGUUUCAUGAAUGUUGUAAUCUGGAUGUACUUGUGGAUGGCGGCCGCUAAACUUAUUACGAUCUUGGCUGUAUGCGAUGUGUGGUUUGAAAUCCUUCGAGAUUUCACGGACUACCAGGAUUAUAUGGGCUUAAGCGUGAUGGUUUGACUAUGCAAAUGGUCACUAUUAGGCUUAAUCUCUUAUAAUUUGGUCGGUUCUGUUACAGAUUCCAGCGCUUGGGAACAACAAUCGCGCUGGAGGGCUUAGGGCAGGCCUGGCACCAGCAGGAGCAAGAAGAAAUGCAAGCUCGCCAAGAUCAGCUGCUGAAAUAGUCCCAAGACUUCUGGCGGUACAUGGGGUACAACCCCGAUCACUAGGCCAGAAGGUAGCUUGGGGGAGGACCCCCAAUCCCGAGGUUAUCUGCAUUGCAUAUUUAUUUUCAUGCAUCCUUAAUUUUAAAUUAGCAUGUUUACUUUAUGAAAUUUCCAUUAGUUAAAUUCAUGUUUUAAUUAUUGCAUAUAAAAAAAUGAAAAAUGCUAAAAAGAUAAAAAUAUAAUUCCACUCUUAUAUGUGAUGUAAGAUAUAUGCUUCUUCCUUGUUGAAAUGAUGAAUAGUUGCUCUAUCGUAAUUUCUUUCCGGUAUCUAGUUUCAACCUUGAAUUCACCAAAUUAAUAAAAUGAUUAAAUGCGUGGGUUGCAAAAUGCUCUAUCUAAAGUCUAAAGUAAUUAAUGGAUAUAUUUGUGAUGAUCUGAGCUGCUAGUAUCCUGUUCUAAACAACGCUAGAGUUCUGGAGUUUUUACAAAAAUAAAAUAAUCACAUUGAGUUAGAUUAAGCUUUGUUGACCCUUUGAGAGGUUGUCAUACCAUUGAAAAUAAAAAUAUUUCAUUAUGUUAUCAUCUCAAAAGUUUGUUAGAAGGCAUAUGGCUAUGAAAAAGAAAAAAAAGCAUCCGAGAAAAUAAAAAGGGACAUGUGUCCGAAACCUCAAAAAGAAAGAUCACGAGGAAAUAAAAAGGGAGAUGUGUCCGGAACCUCGAAAAUAAUAAUAAUAAAAAAAUAGGCAAGUGCCCAAUAGUAGAAUUAGCCACAUAGCCAUGUGUCUCUAAUAGACAAAAAGAGAAUGAUGGAAAAGAAAAAUUUUUAAAAAAUUCAAUGGUAUGAUUAACUUUCUCUUUGGAUCCAUUGUUUAAUUUGACAAAUAAAUGUGCUAAGUUUUUGAAAAUAAAAAAAAAACACCGGAACAAAAGUAAAGAACUGGGGACAUAGCGCUCGAUCUGAUCAAAUCCAUCCUGCAAAUGCUUAAGGACCCAAGGUAUGAGCAAUAAGCCCCAUGACAUAUCUGUUCAAAAUUCAAAGGAGAAUUCUUGUUUGAAGGUUUGUACUGGAUAGAAGUGAAAAUAUUGUAGCAACUCCUGAUCAACAACCAAGAUCUUAGCUUCUUGCUCGAGGACGAGCAAGGGGUAAGCUUGGGGGAGUUUAUUGGCAGUUCUUAAUGACAUAUUUACCCCGCCAACAUAGUCCAUGCAAAGGAAGAAAAGCAUGUAUUUUACUCACAUGUACUUAUUAAAUGCUUACCAAGUUCCACAUGUAGUGCAAGUUGUGUUUUGCAGAUCAUAUACAGGCAUACAGGUGGAAAGCAAAUAAAAAGGCGCAAUCCGACACGUCAAAAAAUGCGCAAAUAAACAAGUACCCAAAAGCCCAAUAUAGAAGUGCAUCAAUUUGCAGGUGGAUCUGGACUCAGGGGCCCAAGAGGAAGGCAACGGGCUUCGGGCCGGGGCCAGCGGGGCCCACCAGAGGGCGGCCGCCCCCUAGGGUCGGCCGACCCUGGCCCAGCCCAUCUCGGCACCGCCUUUUGUAGAGGCGGUGCUGAGCCUAUCCUCCCGUAGUCCCCGCGUGCAAAUUGCAGUUUACACCCUGGGGAACCGACCUUCCCCACCUAUUUAAGGAGGGGGAGAGGGAGGCUCCAUUCAUCUCAUCACAUUCACAAUCAACACUCCACCUUCAAGGCACUUGGGCACUACCUCUUCUUAGUUUUUCCUUUUAGCUUUUAGAGAGAGAGUUGGGUGAGCUAUCAAGGAGGGCUUGGCUCCUUGGAGAGAAACUUGGGUAUGAAUAAAGAAUAUCUUUACUCCAAGUCCAUGCCUUAUCAUGUCCGAUAAAGUUCUUCAUAUGAACUAGAGUAUAGUUCUUAUGCUAUGGUAUAUGACAUAGAUCAUAGGUCCUGUUUCAUGAUGCUAGCAUAUGAACUAGAAUAUAGUUCUAGUGAAAAUGAUAUGACAUACAUUUUAGUAUAUAGUUCUUAUAGUAUAAUGCUACCCUAGGGCUAGUAGUGUAUUAUAUGAACUAGUGCUAAGUGUAUGUUGUAUUAUUCUCACUUAGGACUUUAGUCUAAUUGCUUCAUGUUAAUUAAUUUCCUAGAAAUAGCUUUGUGUGAAGAUGGGGGUUUAUCAUGCUCUUUUGAGUAGGUUCGGGCUUCUUACCUGUCGAUCCGUAGGGUCGGGGACCCGGGGGAGUCCGAGUAGGUUCUUUGCAUGUAAGCAUGGUGCUUGGGUGUAAAGGCCGGGUAAAUGCAUUGUCCUAGUCCACGGUUGAGGGGAUGGCGGCAGGUGGUGACAGCCCUGUCAGUCCUUGGCAUUCCCCCACGUUCGGCUAGGGUGUAGGAGUCUAAAUAGUUGCGGAGGUUGCUGGCAGACCUGUACUCGCGUAACCUCCCAAACCAUCUAAACACAGGACUAGAUCUAAGUAGUAUAAUUACAUGAUUAACUUGUUCUAUGACAUGAUCUGUAUCUAGGACCGCACCUGCUCCAAUAGGUUGUUUGUUUAUUCUUUGAUUCAAUUCAUUCUUUUAGUCUCUUUUUAUUCCUUAGCCCAUAUGCCAUGCCUAGAUUGUGAUGGAUCACUAUUCUACAUAUAAAUGUUUAUCACCUGCUAUGACCUUUGAUUCCAUUAUUGCUAUCAUAAUUACUUUGAUCUAUGCUUAUCUUAGAAUCCUUAACAUAUUAAGCCUUCCUUAGAGCGAACCUAUAAAUACGACACUCGGUAAAUCCCCGGGUUGAAAUGCUACACGAAAAUUCCCGUCCGCUUGCGGUACUUAAACUCCAAACCUAAGGAACUAUCACCCCGGUAUAUACUUAACAUUGUUGCUAGACAUGCGCCGAGCUAGUGACUUGUUAAGGAAUACCAACAUGGCAAUCCUAGUGCCACUACCAUGAUUAAGAACUGGAACCCUACCCUAACGGUAAUAAGGCGCCGUUAUCGGGAAGGUAGAUCUAGCUUCCUAUUCAAGGUGGUGAUGCUACGGAUCUGCCAAUAUAACACUGCCAAUGUCAUUAUCAUGAGUAGAGCAGAACCCUAUUCUGGGUAGCGACGCUAAGAAACGCUAACAAGCAUUUCUAGCACGUUGCUUAGGAUAGAUUUAUACUCUAAUCUUGGUGAUUGCAUUAGUAAGUGUUAUCACGACAUUUCUGACAUCGUUGCUGAGGACGGAUUAAACCCUAUUCUUAGUGAUGACGUUAAGAAAUGCCAACAACCUCACCACCCGUCCUCACUGCACCUCAACCUAAUGAGGACCUGCUCCUUUACAUAGCAGCAACCAAUCGGGUUGUCUCCACGGCGAUGGUGGUUGAGCGGGACGAACCAGACCACGUCUACAAAGUCUAGAGGCCUGUUUACUUCAUAAGCGAAGUCCUAAACGAAUCCAAGACCAGGUAUCCUCAGAUACAAAAGCUAAUCUACACCAUCUUAAUCACCUCAAGGAAGCUGAAGCACUACUUCGACGACCAUCGGGUUUUAGUUACUACCAGUUUUCCUUUGGGGGACAUUUUGCGCAACAAGGACACAAACGGCAGAAUUGUAAAGUGGGUGAUGGAAUUAUGCCCAUUUUCUCUGGAUUUCUAGAGUCGCACUACCAACAAGUCCCAGGCCCUGGUCGACUUCAUCGCAGAAUGAACGGAUCUCAAUGAGCCCACCCCCUCCAGAUGCCUCCGACCACUGGUCAAUGUUCUUCGACGGAUCCUUGAACAUCAAUGGAGCCGGUGCCGGAAUACUUUUUGUUUCGCCAAACAAGGACAAACUCCGCUACGUCCUUAGGAUCCUCUUCCCGGCAUCCAACAACGUCACCGAAUACGAAGCAUGCUUGCAUGGCAUCCGAUUGGCUGUCGAACUGGGAGUUAAACGCCUUUAUGUCCACGGCGAUUCUGCCCUAGUCAUCAACCAGCUAAAUAAGGAGUGGGACACAACUCACGAGAAGAUGGACCUCUACUACAAAGAAAUCCGGAAGUGGGAAUCAAAUUUUUACGGCAUAGAAUACAUCCAUGUGGUCCGAGAAAAGAAUCAUGCAGCGGAUGCGCUGUCAACGAUAGGAUCAUCCCGGGCCUAGAUUCCCCAAGGCGUUUUCGUCCAGGACAUUCACACGCCAAGCGUCGGCACGGACCUGAUCGACAAGCCGUCUAACGAAACAAUGCUCAUAGACGACACCACUCCAACAACCACCAGCCACGACUGCGCACUCCUUUCAUCAAGUAUCUCUCGGACGGUUCGGGAUUUCAAGACAAAACGGAGAACGAACGCCUCAUCCGGCGAUCCAAAAAUUACAUACUGGUCAACGGCAAACUUAUGCGUAAGAAUACAGGUUCAGAAGUCUUGUUGAAAUGCAUAUCCCAAGACGAUGGCAUCAAUUUAUUGGAGGACAUACAUGCUGGAUCCUGCGGCAACCACGCCGCCUCUAGAACGCUGGUCAGAAAGGCUUUUCGAGGAGGUUUCUAUUGGCCAACUGCAGUCGUCGACGCCGAGAAACUGAUCCGGCAUUGUAAAGGAUGCCAGUUCUUUGCCAAGUGGACCUACGUACCUGCUCAUGAGAUCCAGACGAUUCCCUCAUCUUGGUCAUUUGCAUGUUGGGGUCUCGACAUGAUCGGGCCAUUCAAACCGGCCCCCGGCAACUUCAAAUUCGUGUUCGUGCUAAUCGACAAAUUCUCGAAGUGGAUCGAGUACGUGCCACUGGUCAAAGCAACUUCCGAGAAGGCUGUGGAGUUCCUCAAUCAAAUCAUACAUAGAUUCGGGGUUCCCAACAGCAUAAUCACUGACCUGGGCACUCAGUUCACCGGCACUACAUUCUGGGACUUCUGCGAUGAUAGAGGCAAUUCCCUUCUCUUCUACAAUUUGUUCUUAAGUGUAACCAGCAACUCACAAGAUGCUUCAAAGAUACACCAAACCCCUUUUAUUUUACUUAAUCUAUAUAUAACAAUUCAUAAUUUCUUUAUCCAUAUUUAGGCCUACCAAACUAGCAUGCAUUUUUGUUUAUCAAUAAAUUCCACAAAAAUUACAGUAGACUACCAGUCAAACAUAAAGUCUACCAUAAAUUUCCCAUAAUAUUUCGACACUUAUUUUGAGCUACAAAAAUCACAAGAUAAAUUCACAAAAGCAAGUAUAAAUACUCUACUCUAGUAUAAGUGUCAAACAGCAGAUUUCAUAUUUUUAUAAUUUGCUUAUUAUCCUAAGAAACACCCACAAAAAUUUCCAGAUUAAUUGCAUGAUCCAAUUAUUUAUUAAAAAUCAUAAACCACUGCCAUGCAAGCAUUUAAAUCACCAUAAAUUAAUUCACACAGCAAAUAAUGUGUAACAUAUUUUUCCUAGAGCCUAAUCUUCCAUGCAGAGCCAAUAAAACAAAUUUCAUAUUUUUCUGAGCUUUAUUUUAAUUACUAUGCAUUUUCCAAAUUCUGCAAAAACAUGGAUUAAAUAUGUUUGUAUAGAAAAGUUGUUCAAACAUGACAUGCAAACACACCAGGCUAUAGAUCUGAGAAUAAGGAACACACCAAAAUUUGUUUCACUAAUUUUGGAGCUAUACAACUCAAGAUAUGGAUUUUACAUCAUUUAAAUCAAUUUCUGGAAAACCUUUAUUUAAGAAAACCGACGGAAAACGUUAGAUUCACCCGGAUCCGCACCCGCAGAGACGCUGACAGGUGGGAUCCAGGGGUUGUGGCCCCACGGGUCAACCAUGCAGCACUCCGGCCAACUUCAGUCGGCCGGCUCUCGCCGACGGCGAGGUCUCCGGCCACGGGGUGAGCACCAGCAUGUUCCCCGCAGUGAGGCGCACCCAAGGGUGCCCUUGGAUCGGCCGGAGGGUGACCGGAGCACCCUCGACGAGCAUGCAUGGCGGCACGGCGGCGCUGCUCGCCGUGUCCAGGCCGCUCCGGUGCGGUAGAGCGCGCAUGAGUGCUCCUCCAAGCCUCCUCACCGAACUACGAACCUAACGCGCCCAAAAGCGAGCGAAAGGAGAUAGGGACUAGCGAGAUUCAACGCGGCAGAGCUCUCCGGCGAGGUCGGAGCAACUCCGGCGAGCGAUUCACGGCACACGACGGGCUCUCACCUCGGUAGAGCGUUCGCAGGGGCUUACCGCGGCGACGACGAGUGCGCUGGUGGUCUUGGCGUCGAGGUUGGGCACUGGCGUGGCCGGCGGUGAGCAGCGGAGCACUCCGGCGAUGGCGCUACGGCGGAGCUGCUACGGCUGCGACGCUCGCGAGCGAAAGAGGAAGAAGGAGAGAGGAGCGGGGCGACAGAGUGGAGCCUGGGGGCACGGGGCGGCCUUCCGACCAGGUUAUAGCCGGUCGGCCGCGGCGCGUCCAACGCCGGCGUAUGGCCGCCACGUGGCCGGCGUCGGGUGGAGCGAGGCGGCCGCCGCGCGCGGGAGAGAGAAGGGAGGGGAAGUGGACCACGCUGUCUGGCUGGGCCGAAAGGGAGGCGGGUCGGCCCAGCAGCGCCUGUCCCCUUUUUCUUUUUUUUUUGAAUUCCUUUUCUCCAAAAAGUUUAAAUGAGACUUUUGAGGCUUUUUCAAAUCUUUUUAUGGGUUGAGGUAAAAAUAAGAAUUGUUCCCCACAAAAUUCCCUACAACUUUGCUUUAAUAAGUGAAGCCAAAUUCCAAAUAGAAUUUGAAUCACAGGUUAAAACUAGUUCUAGGUUUUUAAAUAAAUUCAUUUUAGGGAUUUUUGUAUAAAUUCCAUUUCUCAAAUCCUAUGGCUCCAAAAAUAUCACAAAAUUACUCUUAAACCUUUUAACACACAAUUCAACCCAAUUUGAAUAUUUCACAAUUUUAGAAGCAAGCUUAAUAUUUUUAACCAUAUUUAAUUCACCUAAAUAAAGCACACAUAAAAUCACACUUGAAUUAUUAUUAUGCUCAUGGGAUGUGAUGCUUAUGCCAUGCUUGAUGAGAAUGCUUAUGAAUGUUUUAUGAGACUAAAUGCAUGCUUAAGACCUAGGGUGUUACAAGUGAUGUAUAGAGAAGACUGCAACCGUAGUCUCGUUCUAUGCCCUGGUAAGGAUGAUCUAGUGUUCUAUUGGGGAAGCUUACGGAAUCUAGACACCACAAAGGAUGUUCGACCCGCACCUAUAAACCUUCCCGUCCUGCUAACGAGAUGUGGGAUGCAAAGGUAACUCGGAAAUGUCACGUUCCUCGCUACUACCACGGUCCAGCUAGUCAGGGGAUAUCUAUGAGUACGCCAGCCUAAACACCACGUUUACGCUAGCAAUGAUUACUCUAAUACUCAACCGGAAGAGAUUAAAGUAAACUCAUAAACCAAAGAAUAAUAAAACAAGAACUUACUAGAAUUAGAAGUCGAAUUACUGAAUAAUCCUAGGAGCAAGCCUCGGGUUAGAAGACUUGAUCCCACAGGUACAACCUCGAAGUUGACACCAACAGGCCAGGCUUCCUCCCAUCUACACCUCCACUCUAUCUCUCUCAAUCUAGUAGAAACUAGAAGAUCUACUUGUACACACAUUGGAUGCUAAGCCUAAAAGAAAUUUUAUUUAGAGGAGAGGUAUUCCUUCGAGGGCUCCUCUCAACUCUAUGAUGAACUUGUCUCCUCCAGGGGCCUGGGGGUCUGGUUUUAUAGUCCCCUCAAGUGAACGUGGGCCAUUGGAUCAAACCGACAACGAUUGAACGGUUAUCCUUUAUCCUUUAGGUCGGUGGAGAUUGAUCCCGAAAGAGAGUCCUGAUCCAACUCUGUGAGGGGGCGGGCGCCCGGGUCAACUGGGCGGCCGCCCAGUGCCUGGCCCCGUUCGGCCUCCGCUUCCUUCCCGUGGGUUCUGGAGUCUUCUAGAUGUAAGAUAAUUGCGCGGCACGUUAAUAUCUCUAUGUAAACCCGAUGUGUGGGCCUUUCUUCCGUAUUUUCUGAUAACCCCCUACAGAAAUAGACAAACACCAAAACACAUGGAAUUCUGUCAGAUAAAACCCUAAGUCUAGGUUUUGGUUGCAUUUGGAUCCUUUUCUUUAUUUAUUUGAUGAUUAUAUUUGGUACUUAAGGACCGUCAACAACUCCCCCAAGCUUACCUCUUGCUCGUCCCUGAGCAAGGACGAACUCAAGAAUUUCUAUAGUGGUUUCAUUCCUUAAAAGUACACAUGCAUUCAAACAAGAUCUCAUGUAUGAGUUAGAAUAAACUGUUAAGACUUAAAACUUACUCAUUUUACCUUUCACCAUGGGGCUUGUAACCAUCACUUGUGUCUUGAGCAGUUAAAAGAUAGAACGGUCUAGUCAAGCGCCAUGUCUCGUAUUCUUGAUCAGCUAAAGCUCUGGAGUUUUUGCAUAUUUUCAUAUAAAACUCAGAGAUUCCCUAGAUGAUUCUCUCAAAUCUCUCUUUUGUGGUAUUUCUGGAUCCUUUCCAAGGCAGUAAUGGUAUAUGUCUUCUCUCAAAGUAUGUGGUAUUUUUGGUAUGAGGCAUAGUGAUAUUGCCUUCUCUCUCACCCUACUCUAAUAAGGUUUUUAUAUCUAGAGCUCAUAGGUGGGAGACAGCUAAUACAUACUUACAAGAUAUUUAUUGCAUAGUCAAACCAUGGAUCCAGAGAGACAAGUCAUUAAGUCAAAUUAAGAUGUGCAUGUGUGGCGAGUGAAUGGUGUAUGGUGAUGAUGGUGAUAACAAUGUUGAUAGUCUAAUUCUACUUUUGCUCUUUUUAGGGGAUACAUACCUUUCUUGCACUUUGAAGCUUCUCAAGGAGAAUGAGAUGCUCUAUAUUUUUUUCUCUUUUUCUCUCAGGUGGGUAUCUUGUACCCCUAAUUCUACUGUCGGACACUUGUCCAUUUUAACCUCUCGUCUCACUUUUUCUUUCCUUUCGAGGUUCCGGGCACUUGCCCCUUUUUAUUUCCUCGUAUUCUUUUUUUCUUUUCUUCUUCUUUUUUUUUCAGAGCACUCACCCUCCUAGAAUGUAGCAAGUGGUAGUAACCAAAAUAUCUGGAGCAUUUAUUUCACAGGGAAUAACAAGGAUAGGAAAAUAUUUUUGGCUAUUCUCUCCUAGAUUAGGAGUAGAAUAAUUUUGGGUGAAUCUGAAGAUAGAAAUGAGUGGAUAUAUGUGGAUGCGUACUUCCGAAGUAGAAGUAGCAUGUGUGAACGUGCAAGUGAAUCUUGAUUUUAACCACAUGACAAGCUCCUAAGGGUCUACACAGCUUGACCACACUCAACGCUCAUAAGCAGUAAAAAGUAAAUGUGUGGCUCAAAGUCUAAUAAGCAUGUAUAUAUGGCUGUGGUAGGAUUUUAAACUCUCAUCAUAUAGGAACUCAUCAUGUGUUAUUUUAAAUAUUUUUAAAGAUAAAAUUCUCUAGAAUUCUAGCAUCUCUAGGAACAGAUAAACAACAUCUCAACCUUCCCAUAUCAUAUCCGUUAACGACUUAGACUUUAGAUCAAGUACUCUUCCCACAAGUUCAGGUUUAGAGCAAAUCUUAAUUCAUAACAGUCAUGCCUAAACUUGAGAGAGAGCUCAAACUUGAAAACUAGGUAUAUGGCAGAGCAACUAUUUAUCAUAACCAUGUAAGAGUUUAUCAUUUAAGUUCAGUUUAGCCUAGACACUUUAUUUAUUUAAUUAUUUAGCAAACUAAGCAAAGAUAUCAGCAUAAUUUUUUUUACUUGAGUUUUCAUGAUUAUGCAUCUUUUUAUUAUUUGAGUAAAGUAUAAAUGCGAGUAGAAACACUUAGCUGGAUAAAUGGGGGUGCUCUCCCCUAAGCUGGAUUUUGACGUAAUUUCUUUUGAUGUAGCUAGCAGGUGACGGAGGUGUAUUUGAAUGUCGGCAGCACCCCGACAGCGAUUAGGAUGUCCUCCGUCUGCUAGUCUUCUUUGAUCCUUGAAUUCUCUUGGCAAGGCGUUCGGUGUUUUUAAGUCCUCCGAACGGGACUCUCCGUUUUCUCAGUCGUUCUGGGAUUCGCUAGAUGGCGUAGUCGGUGAUUCCGGUGGCGCCUCCUCUUCGUGUAUAACUAUCUUCUCUUUCCACAUCUGAGUCUGCGCUACGGUCUCCUCAGGACAGUUCUGUUCAAGCUGUAUGUCUUCAGACCUUACCACUUCUCCUUUAUAGUCUGCCCAUCCGUCCUUGAUGAUUUGCCUCCUCUGGUUGUGGUUGCGUCGUCUUCUUCUUGUCCUGAUCUGCUUAGAAUCUUCAUCUUCAACUAUAUAGUUAGAAUCAUUAAAGUAGUGGCAUACCUUCUUAGAGGGGAAGUGCAUGUGGACUUCUCCGGUUCCAAUAUAGAUGAUGACUUUGAUAGUGUAGAGGAACGGUCUUCCAAGGAUGGUGGGUGGAUCGUACUCGUCUUCUCCCAUGUCAAUGACCUGAAAAUCAUCUGGAGCUGAAUAUAUAUUGGUUGUAGGGGCAUGGUUCCAUGCAAGAGCUGAUAAGUGACUGCGGCCAUUAUGUUGUCGUCAGAUUCGGUGUCGUAGAGUGUCUUCUGAAAAGAGUAUCCAUUGAUUGUGCACACGAUGCUUGGAACACCAGGGUCGUCCUUCUAGAUCAGAAAACGCGACUUGAGUCGACGAUCUUGACCUCCUCCGACAAGGAUCCAAUGUUUUAAGUCUUCUGGACAAGACUUCUCACCGUCUCAUCCUUUAGGUGCAUCAUUUGAUUAGUUGUGGGCCAUGACGUCUGCACCUCUUAAUACAGUGUCACCCAUGUUCUUCGUUUGCCCAGCAGUUCGAAGUGCGGUGUUGGCAGUAUCCUGCUCAGUGUGUUUGUGCUCGUAGAUCCAGGUCCUUCACUUGGUGGAGUCUGGGAGUUGUAAAACUCCUCCAUGUUUUGCUUGAAGUGUACCUGUUCAUAGAGACAAGGCAGAGAUCAAGUGCAUGGGCCCUGUUGGUGGAAAACACCAAGAGAACCAAAAGUGUAUUUGUUCUUCUCUAACCUUAAGCAUAGUGAGCAAGACAAAGUUGAUAGGAUCAUGAGUGUAGUAUUUGAAACAUUUGUUAGAUCAGAUGGCUCAACCUAAUGGAAAGAUAAUCUAUCUAUAUUUAUGUUUUGUUUAUAUCUUCCAAAGAUUGAAUGUGCAACAUAUUAGCUUAUAUGAUUAGCAGUGUGGCAUCACGAAGGUAGUACUAAGAACAAAGAUUAAAGGACUAAACAUGUUGAAUUAAUUGGGUUGGUUAAUUUGGAGUUACAAAUCAUACAUGUUUGUCUCUUUAUUUAUGUGAACGCCAGAACCAAGGAGAAGCUUAUAAAAGUGAUAGUCAAGUACCUUAAGGUGUUACCUUACUUGAAGAGUGAUGGUAUAGUAUCACCUUGUGGAAGCAUUCCUUUCUUAGCGGUUGUGCAUCGUGUUUGUGGCACCCUCCAUGGAUCAUCUCUUUAUAAUGAAUGAGCUAUGUCCUUCUUGUACAAGUCGUUAAAUUUCAUAUGUCUCCUUUAUCUCCAAUGUGAGUUUGUAUCUCAGGACUUCCUAGGUUGAUAUUGAAAGUUUUCCUGCAGGGGUUAGUCCGACAAAAUAUACCAAUGCCUACUCAAGCAAUUUUUAGUUCAGUAUCCAAACUAGACUCCAUGUCUAAUCAGAUUAAGGAAGGCUAUUUAACACAAGCACCACGCUUAAUUUAAAUGCCAAUGGAAGUAUGUCCAGUACUUCCAAACUAACAUUUACUAGGAUAAACAAAGGUAGCAUGAUGGCUUUUAUAGAGAUCUACUCAAGUGGAGAAGUAGUGUGACUAGUAUUUAACAAAUUGAGCAUGUCUCAAAGGUGGGGAUAACCAACAUAGCAACAUGGCAAAAGAUGUUUUUAUGUAAAGUACUCCCCCAAGCUUGAAUUUUGCAAAAUUCAAGAUUGGAUGAAAUUAAUUCAAUGUUGCAUGAUGAUUGGUUGGGCAUACCUUGCGCUUGUCAUUCCUCGGAUCUUCUUGAUCCAAUCCUGGAAAGGUUAGUGACAAGAAUACCCGAAGGAAUAUUUUUACAAUUAUCCCUAUAUGCUCAAUACACAGGGCAAUGUUGCAAAUAAUUAGAAGUUCAUGUUAUGAUCUGAUAGGUGCUUGUUUUAGGACACUAAGCUUGUCCUUGGGAAACCUUCAAUCAACUCAACGAGAUCUACAAUAUUUAUUAUAGACAUAUGCAUCGACAACCACCCUUUUAAAAUUUUUAUAAAUAGACAAGAAGAGGGGGUUGGAGAUCUCAAAUGUGGUAAUAGCACAUGGAUUUUUAAUGCCCUCUAGCCAUUGAUGUUGCUCUUCUCGAUCCUCCUUUUUAUGCACGGGAUGUCUAGAGAGAUUCAUAGGAUUAUUGGGAGGUUCAAGAGAAAGAGCAUAAUGGAGAUUAUUAAGCUCAAGGAUGCGUUGGAUAGCCGAAUUAUGGGAUUGAAAUGUUUGGAAAUUGGCUAUUGACACUUCCUUUCCUUGUAUGGGAGAUGAUUCCUUCUCUAUCUCUAAGAUUUUUCUAUGAAGACUAGUACAAGAAGGAUGUCCACGAAUGAAGACAUACCUUGCUUUACUAACAGAUAAAGAAAGAAAAACUCUACCAAAGGUUAUAUGAUUAAGACCAAUGUGAAAAUAUCGAGAAAAAAUAUGGUCUUGUAUGGCUAGGUCUAAACCAGAAUUUAUAGAAAGAUUAACAGAUUCCCUAGGUGUAGCUAAAAGUGCAUUAUCUUCUUGAUUAAAAGAUAGGACCUCGGCUAUAGAAAAAGGUUGGUUUUGACCUAUUGCAAUCAACUCCGGACACAGAUCAUAAUUAGGGGCAGGACUUGUUGACUCCCAUGCUCUAUGGCUGGUCUCCGAAGGUGCAAAGAAUUCAAUAAUAGGUAUGGAAUUUGAGUUAUCCAUAAAGAUGGAAAAAAUAAAAAGAUAAAAGAAUAAAAGUAUAAAAGUAUAAUACAAGAUAAUAGCAAGACUUAAAGUUAUCUCAGCAAACCGUCUUUCUCCCCGGCAACGGCGCCAGAAAUGCUUGUUGAUAUUUGGUAACGCAAUCAGGAAAUGAACCGCAAGCGCACGGAUAUCGGUGAGCAUUUCACCCGGGAGGUUAUCCAGAGUAUCGUAUUUAUAUUUUUUCCACUGGGAGAAAGGGUGCAUCUGACUAACCAAAUCUAUUGCUACUAUCCCUUUAGGCUACAAAGAAUGUUUCUCGAUGUGAGCGAUGUAUAGAGAAGACUGCAACCGUAGUCUCGUUCUAUGCCUUGGUAAGGAUGAUCUACUGUUCUAUUGGGGAAGCUUACGGAAUCUAGACACCACAAAAGAUGUUCGACCCACACCUAUAAACCUACCCAUCCUGCUAACGAGAUGUGGGAUGCAAAGGUAACUCAGAAAUGUCACGUUCCUCGCUACUACCACGGUCCAGCUAGUCAGGGGAUAUCUAUGAGUACGCUAGCCUAAACACCACGUUUACGAUAGCAAUGAUUACUCUAAUACUCAACCGGAAGAGAUUAAUGUAAACUCAUAAACCAAAGAACAAUAAAACAAGAACUUACUAAAAUUAGAAGUCGAAUUACUGAAGAAUCCUAGGAACAAGCUGUUGACGGUUCUUAAGUAUCAAUUUUAAUUAUCAAAUAAACAAGAGAAAGGACCAAUAUGCAACCAUCACCUAGAAUUAGGGUUUGAUCUGACAGAAUUCCACGAGUUUUGUUGUUUAUCUAUUUCUGCAGGGGGUUAUCAGGAAAUAAGGUAGAAAGGCCCACAUGUCGGGAUUACAUAGAGAUAUCAACGCACCGCGCAAUUUUACAUCAUCUAGAAGACUCCAGAAGCCACGAGACCGAAGCGGAGGCCAAACUGGCCAGGCCCAGGGCGCCCGCCCUGGUAGCCUGGGCGCCCGCCCCCCUACUGGAGCCAAAUCAGGACUCCUUCGCUCGGGAUAUUCCACCGACCUAUUGGAUCAAGAAAAACAUAGUACCACCUAGGCUAUUGACCCAAAAACGCAUAGAAGGGGAGGACUAUAUAAGCAAGGCCCCCCUGGCCCCUGGAGAAGACAUGAAGAAAUUAUCAUAGAGACUGAGGGGUGCCCUCGAAGGAAAACCUCUUCUCUAAUUAAUAUUUCUUUUUAGGCUUAGCAAUCAAUGUAAGGUAGAAAUAGAUCUUCUAGUUUCUACUAGAUUGAGAGAGAUAGAGUGGAGGUGUUGAUUGGAGGAAGCCCGGCUUGUCGGUGUCUACUCCAAGCUUGUACCUGCGGGAUCAAGUUCUCCUAACCCGAAGCUUGCUCCUAGGAUUCUUCAGUAAUUCGACUUCUAAAUUCUAGUAAGUUCUUGUUUUAUUGUUCUUAUGGUUUAUGAGUUUACUUUAAUCUCUUCGCGUAGAGUUUAGAGUCAUCAUUGCUGGCGUAAACGUGGUGUUUAGGCUGGGGUACUCUUAGAUAUUCCCUGACUAGCUGGACCGUGGUAGUAGUGAGGAACGUGACAUUUCCGAGCUACCUUUGUAGAUCACAUCUCGUUAGCAGGAAGGAUAGGGUUUAUAGGUGCGGGUCGAACAUCCUUUGUGGUGUCUAGAUUCCGUUAGCCUCCCCAUUAGAACAGUAGAUCAUCCUUACCAAGGUUAGAAGGAGACUACGGUUGCAGUCUUCUCUAUUUAUCACUCACAUCGAAAUACAUUCUUUGUGCCUAAAGGGAUAGUAGCAAUAGACCGGUUAGUCAGAUGCACCCUUUCUCCCAGUGGUAAAAAUAUAAAUACGAUACUCUGGAAAACCUCCCGGGUGAAAUGCUCACCGAUAUCCGUGCGCUUGCGGAUCGUUUCCUUAUUGCGUUACCAAAUAUCAACAAGCAUUUCUGGCGCCGUUGCCGGGGAGAAAGACGGUUUGCUGAGAUAACUUUGAGUCUUGCUAUUAUCUUGUAUUAUACUUUUAUACUUUUAUUCUUUUAUCUUUUUAUCUUUAUGGAUAUCUCAAAUUCCAUAACUAUUAUUAAAUUAUUUGCACCUUCGGAGACCAGCCAUAGACCAUGGGAGUCAACACGUCCUGCCCCUAAUUAUGAUCUGUGUCCGGAGUUGAUUGCAAUAGGUCACAACCAACCCUUUUCUAUAGCCGAGGUCCUAUCUUUUAAUCAAGAAGAUAAUGCACUUUUAGCUACACCUAGGGAAUCUGUUAAUCUUUCUAUAAAUUCUGGUUUAGACCUAGCCUUGCAAGACCAUGUUUUUCCUAGAUAUUUUCACAUUGGUCUUAAUCAUAUAACCUUUGGUAGAGUCCUUCUUUCUUUAUCAGUUAGUAACGGAAGGUAUGUCUUCAUUCGUGGACAUCCUUCUUGUACUAGUCUUCAUAGAAAAAUCAUAGAGAUAGAGAAGGAAUCAUCUCCCAUACAAGGAGAGGAAGUUUCAAUAGCCGAUUUCCAAACUUUCCAAUCCCAUGAUUCGGCUAUCCAACCCAUCCUUGAGCCUAAUAAUCUCUACUAUGCUCUUUCUCUCGAACCUCCCGAUAAUCCUAUGAAUCUCUCUAGACAUCCCAUGCAUAAGAAGGAGGAUCGAGGAGAGCAACAUCAAUGGCUAGAGGGCAUUAAAAAUUCAUGUGCUAUCACCACAUUUGAGAUCUCCAACCCUCUCUUCUUUUCAUUUAUAAAAACUUUAAAAGGGCGGUUGUCGAUGCAUAUGUCUAUAAUAAAUAUUGCAGAUCUCGUUGAGUUGAUCUUGAUAUAGGUAGGUGUUGGAGGGGAAACCACUUCACCAACAUAACUUGAUGGUUUCCCAAGGACAAGCUUAGUGUCCGAAAACAAACACUUAUCAGAUCAUAACAUGAACUUCUAAUUAUUUGCAACAUUGCCUUGUGUAUUGAGCAUAUAAAGAUAAUUGUAGAAAUAUUCCUUCGGGUAUUCUUGUCACUAACCUCUCUAGGAUUGGAGCAAGAAGAUCGGAUGAAUGACAAGCACAGGGUAUGUCCAACCAACCAUCACACAACAUUGAAUGAAAUUCAUCCAAACUUGAAUUUUGUAAAAUUCAAGCUUGGGGGAGUACUUUACAUAAAAACAUCUUUUGCCAUGUUGCUACGUUGGUUGUCCUUACCUUUGAGACAUGCUCAAUUUGUUAAAUACUAAUUACACUACUUCAUCUCCACUUAAGUAGAUCUCUAUAAAUGCUCUCAUGCUACCUUUAUUUGCUUUAGUAUAUGUCUAGGUUUGGAAUAGUUUCAUUUAUCUCUUAAUUAAGCAUGGUGCUUAGUUUAGGAAUGAUGAUCUUACUUCCAAGGGAUUUUAAAUUAAGCAUGGUGCUUAGGUUAAAAUGUCCUUCUAAAUCAAAUUAGACAUGGUGUCUAGGUUGAUUUUUAAGCCGAUAGUAUGCUAUAGUAGAUAUGGGAUAUUUUGUUGGACUAACCCCUGCAGGAAAACUUUCAAUAUCAACCUGGGAAGUCCUGAGAUAAACUCGCAUUGGAGAUGAAGAAAGUGACACAUGAAGUUUAACAAUUUGCACAAGAAAGACGUGGCUCAUAAGAGAUGAUCCAUGGAGGGAGCCACAAACACGAUGCACAACCGCUAGAAAGGAAAGCUUCUACAAGGUGAUACUGUACCAUCACUCUUCAAAGGUAACAUCUUAAGGUACUUGACUAUCCUUUUAUAAGUUUCUCCUUGGUUCUGGCGUUCACAUAAAUAAAGAGACAAACAUGUAUGAUUUAUAACUCUAAAUUAACCAACCUAACUGAUUCAACAUGUUUAGUCCCUUAAUCUUUGUUCUUAGUACUACCUUCGUAAUCCCACGCUCCUAAACAUAUAAGCUAAUAUGUUGCACAUUCAAUCUUUGGAAGAUAAAAACAAAACAUAAAUAUAGAUAGAUUAUCUUUCCAUUAGGUUGAGCCAUCUGAUCUAACAAAUGUUUUAAAUGCUACACUCAUGAUCCAUCAACUUUGUCUUGCUCACUAUGCUUAAGGUUAGAAAAGAACAAAUACACUUUUGGUUCUGUUGGUGUUUUCCACCAACAGAGCCCAUGCACUUGAUCUCUGCCUUGUCUCUAUGAGCAGGACACAUUUUGAGAAACAUGAAGGCGUUUUACAACUCCCAGAUUCCAUUAAGUGAAGAACCGGGAUCUACGAGCACAAACACAAUGGAGAUCGGACACUUAGUUUCCCAAAGGAAAUAUUAAAGAACCUCUGUGUCCAAGUUGGUACCUUGUACGCUCCAACAAACUUCGUGGUGGUAGAGACUGGUACUGAGGAGAGGGCACCCAUCAUCUUAGGGAGGCCAUUCCUAAACACCAGAGCUGUCAUCUACGCUAAUGAUGCCAAGAUUAGUCUCUACAUCAAGGGGAAGAAGGAGACUUUCCUUCAAGAACAAGACUACAUAAACUUCAGAGCAAUCCCAACAUGAACCAAGGAAGAGGUCCAACAGGAGGAACAGGAACAAGCAAAUGUGGACCGAGUCAGCUAAGAUGGUCACUGCAGCUCAAGGAGGUCAAGAUCGUCGACUCAAGUCACCUUUCUUGAUCAAGAAGGACGACCCUGGUGUUCCAAUCAUCGAGUGCACAACCAAUAGAUACUCUUUUUAGAAAACACUCUACGACACCGGAUCUAACGUCAACAUAAUGGCUGCAGUCACUUAUCAGCUCCUGCAUGGAACCAUGUUCCUACAACCAAUAUAUAUUUAGCUCCAGAUGAUUUUCAGAACAUUGAUAUGGGAGAAGACGAGUACGAUCCACCCAUCAUCCUUGGAAGACCAUUCCUCAAAACUAUCCAAGUUAUCAUCUACAUUGGAACCGGAGAAGUCCACGUGUAUUUCCCCUCUGAGAAGGUACGCCAUUACUUUAAUGAUUCUAACUAUAUAGUUGAAGAUUCUAAGCAGGUCAGGACAAGAAGCGGUCCAGCUACAGUAGCGGGUCUGGGUGCGCAGCCAGGAGGUGAGUCUCUCCGCUUCACGGACCCGGUCCAGGGCUCGACUCCUUUGCAGUCGCUGUUCUCUGGGCCAUGGCCGUCGUCUGUAGACUACGAGUCUGGGGAUAAGGCUGGCAUAUCCACGUUUCUCCCUCAUUCACCCCAGUCCUCAUCUACCUCUCCCUCAAUCGCAUCCUUAGAGGGCGGAAACCCUAGAGGUCCUGCUUGUUUUGCGGAGGCGGGUGGUGUGCAGAGGAAGGUGCAGCUUCCACACGAGGUAUGUGACCAUCCUGAUGCUGAUUUGAGUUCUCGUCUAGUUCACUUAUGGAGCCAUAGUAUUAAGGUGGGGGGAUGUGGUGUGAUUGAAGUGAAGGAUCCAUCGAUUGCUGUGCCCCUUGGUAGUGCGACAUCGGUGAGAUCAUACUGGUCGACUAUUGGGGGUGAUACUCGUUCGUUUUCGCAGGUUAUCCAGGCUCCUCUGCAGCCUAGGAGAAAUAUGGAUCCGCGUCAACAGUAUCCAAAUCGCCCCUAUGCUGGAUCUGCUUUCAAUCGGGGCGGAUUUCGUCCUCGCUGGCAGAAUCAGGGGAGGGGUUGGUUUCCAAGGGGGAGAGACAGAGGUGGAGGUCGUUUCCAGGGAGGAGGUGGAUGUGGUUUUGGUAAUAGAAAUGCAGGAAUUCAGCAGUUUGAUAGGAACAAUGAUCAGAGACCUACAGAGGGAAAUGAGGGGUCUGAACAUACUAAAAACAUUGGGAUUGAUGAAACUGAAACUUCUGUGAAUGAUUCGUCUCAGAAAAUGGCAAGUGGGAGUCAGGCUACUCAAGAGGGUGAGAAUGGGGAUCAGGAUGUUCCUACUGAACAACCUAAUAAUCUCCCUGUUUGUAACAGGUGUGGUAGAGUUGGACAUCUAGAUAGUGAGUGCCUUAAUCCUGUAGUGUGUUCCAGAUGUCACAAGGAGGGUCACGUGGCAAGAGUUUGCUCUGCUAAAAUGCCCUGGGAGUUUAUCUCUCCUUUCUGUGGUUUAUCCGCUUAUGGGCAGGGGUUUCAUGUGAUUGAGAGUACAAAUGCUGAUGAAGGGAUCAAGGAUAUGUCUACUACUGCUUUGGUUACUGUGACUAGUGGUGAAGCUACAGCCCGGGAUAUUGAAAAUGAAUUCAGAUUGAAAGCUGGUUCAAACUCAACAUGGAGGUGGUAUGCUAAGAAAGUAGGGGAAGGUAGAUACCAAAUGAGAUUUCCUAAUGCUCAGACUAUAGAGGAUUUAGCUUAUUUUACUGAGAUGAGACUGAGGUCAAAACCUGAUGUGGUAAUCAAAAUUGAGAAAUGGAAUCCUGCUACUGGCUCAAAGGGAGCCCUUGAUGUAGCAUGGUUCAGGAUAACUAAUAUUCCCCCUGAGAAAAGAUCCUUCUCCAAUGUCUGCAUGGUGGCAUCUAAGGUGGGUCUGCCCUUGGAAGUGGACAGGGAUAGUCUGAAAAAAAAUGAUUAUGUCAGGGUAAAAAUUGGAUGCAGAGACGUUUCUAAAGUGCCUGCUUCGGUGGAUGGAUUACUGGACUUCAAUUUCUAUGAUUAUUUCUUUCAGAGAGAAGUUCCCCAGGAAGGUUUCACCAACCCUGCUGGCACACAGUGGAUCAGACAAGAUAGGGAUCAGGCCAAAGAUGGAAUCCCCUCUCCAAAGAAACAGAAAUUGGCUAAUGAUAAAGUUGGUGGUCACCAUUUGGAAGCUGGUACUAGCAAUAAAGGCAGUGAUGGAAAAGGUAGACAAAAAACUGGUGACUGCACUCACCAACAAGAGAAACAACAGCAUCUCUCUGAUGACACAGAAGAAAGUGAGGAUGAUGGUCUCAAAAUUGGUGAUCUAAUUGUGCCUGGUUCGGAGCAACUCAGAUUUGGUAACUUUGACCCGGUGGAGAUAAGGAAAGUCAGUUGUAUUACCAUUAAUAUGAAUCCUCAGACUGUGAUAAAUGAGUAUGGCUCUAACAUGAUGUUGAACAAGUAUGAUCCUCUCAAAACCUUCGAAGUGAAGAGUGCUCUGUAUGAUUGCAGCAAGGAGAAUUUCUUUCAGGUUGAGGAUACGAUGUAUAAGUGUCCUAGUAAAAGUUUGCAGACUAUUCUGGAAGAUAAAGAGGUGGUGAACUGUGUGGAACGUGCUGUCUCCAUAAGCCCUGUUAAAGGAAGCCAAGGUGCUCCAAUGAUGGAUCUCUCUAGCCAGGAAGAUUUGCUUCAAAAAGAAAGCAGUGAUAUUGACUGGGAGCUCAUAGAAGAAGAGGAUGGUCAAAAAUCUGAAGUUGCUGAUAUGGAUAUCAGUUUAUCUCAGCAAAAGGAAACAAUAUUUGUGGAAGAUUCUCAGAAAGUGCAGAGUGUUGAGGAUAGCAUAGUGGAGAUAACUCACAAGAAAUCGGAAAUGUAUGAUAUGACAGCUAAAAACCUAAAUCCCUGGGAAAAUCAUGGUGCUGAUAUAAGGGCUGUGGUGGAAGACAUUCAGAAGGAAAGCCAGGAUGAAUGGCCAGCGUGGCAGCAAGUGAGACAAAGCAAACGGCUAAGGGAGUCUGGAACCUCUCAGUUGAGGAUGGAUGGCAUCGUCAAGGAAACUACAACUGAGGAUUUGCAUAGUGAAGGUAUUACUUCUACUGAUCAGAACUCCUUUGCAGUUCUUUCUGAUAUUCAGAUUGUUUCUUUAGCAUCUCAAAUGGGGAUCAACUCUGAAUCCCUUAAUUUCGAGAAAAUUGAUGUGCUUAAGGACCUAGAGAAUGCUAGAAUGAAACUUAUUGAACAAAAUAGUAGUUUGCUAGAACAGGAAAAUAUUAUAGUGGAUGAAAAUUUUCCCCUAGAAGAUCAGGUGGUUUUGGAGUGGGGAUCAGAGGAAUCUGAUAAGGAAUCCUGUGUAAUUCCUGUUAGCUCAAGAAAAAGCAAGUCGGCUAAGAAAAAAAAGAGAAAAACCAGAGCAGUGAAGGCUCAUCCUGUUGAUGAUCCUACUGAAUCUGGGGGAGAUAAAUCUAUGGCUAGCCCUAGAUUUAAUCUCAGAGAUAGAAAAACUAUCAAGAAAGUCUAUAAAUGAUAGGCAUCAUAUGGAACUGUAGAGGGGUGGAGAAAAAAGGUCUCAGUUCGUUUAUCAAGGAGUUAAUUUGGGAUCAUAGGGCUGACUUUAUUGGUAUUCAAGAAACUAUGAAAAAGAACUACUCUGACAAGUUUUUUAGAAAGAUUGAUAAUGCCAAAGAAUUCAGUUGGUACUGGAUUCCUUCCAAUGGCAAAUCUGGAGGGUUGUUAAGUGGUAUUAGAAAUGAUAGAUUUGAUGUGGAGAGUUUUGAUAGUGGUGAGUUUAUGAUUACUGCUAAUGUGUUUGACAAAAACCUAAAGAAACACCUUUCUUUGGUGAACGUUUAUGGUCCGGCUCAGGAUGUUCUUAAGGACAGCUUCCUUGCUGAACUGUCAAACUUUUGUAUCAAAGCCAAGUACCCAGUUCUUGUGGGUGGCGAUUUUAAUAUUCUGCGAUUUAGCAGUGAAAAAAACAAAAAAUUCAGUGAAAAUAAUUUCUCCGAUGUUUUCAAUUUGAUCAUUAACUCCUACGAACUAAGAGAGUUACCUCUUGCUGGAGGCAAGUUCACUUGGAGUAAUAAUAGAUCUAACCCUACCCUUGAAAAGCUUGAUAGAGUGUUAAUCUCUAGUUCUUGGGAAGUGGAAUUUCCUCUCUGUAAUCUCCGGAAGAUUCCUAGGUAUAUGUCAGAUCAUAAUCCUUUGAUUGUGCGUACUGAUUUACACCAGCAGAUAGGAUCUAGACCUUUCUGCUUCGAAAAUUCCUGGCUGCAACAUGCUGAUUUUACUAGAAAAAUUAAAGAAAUUUGGGAAAGGAGUGUUAAAGCUAAAUCAGCAAUUGAUUCCUGGAAUAUCAAAAUGGACAGGGUCAAAAAGUUUCUCAAAGGCUGGGGACAAAAUUUGAAAGGGCACACCAGAAAAUACAAAAGAAUCCUUCGUGAAGAACUUAUGAUUUUGGAGAAAAUUGAGGAAAAUGAAAUGUUGUCUUCUGAUAAAUUAGACAGAAAAACUUUCAUUCAAACUGAGCUUCUUAGGCUCCUUGAAGAAGAAGAGAGUUAUUGGCAUAAGAGAUCCAAUAGUAUGUGGCUUUUAAAAGGUGAUAAUAACAUAGUUUUUUUUCAUCGUAUGGCGAAUGGGAAAAAAAGGAAGAACACUAUCUUUUCCCUGAAUGAUAAGGACCAGGUCAUUGAGGGGGAUGAUGCCCUGGUGGCUCAUGCUACCUGCUUUUACAAAGAGUUGUUUGGACCUUCUAAGCCUUCUGGCAUCCGUAUGGAGCCUAGCUGUUGGGAUGAGUCCGAAAGGGUUUCUGAACAUGAUAAUAGUGAAUUGAGUAAGCAGUUCUCUGAAACUGAAAUUAAGGAGGCAAUUUUUUCAAUGGAGAAAAACACAGCACCUGGGCCAGACCAUUUUCCUGUGGAGUUUUAUCAGCAAUGUUGGGAAAUAAUUAAAGAUGAUUUGAUGGCCCUUUUUUCUGAUUUCUAUAAACUAGAAUUGGAUAUUGGCAGAUUCAAUUAUGGUGUCAUCACUCUCUUGCCCAAAGUGAAGGAUGCUAAUAACAUUAAGCAGUACAUACCAAUCUGCUUACUGAAUGUAAGCUACAAAAUUUUCACUAAAACCUUGAUGCUCAGAUUAGAAAAGGUGAUGGGGAAAAUAAUUAAUAGGAGCCAAUCUGGUUUUUUGAAAGACAGAAAUAUUAUGGAUGGUGUCUUAGCUUUACACGAGAUUCUUCAUGACACCAGGAUUAAAAAGAAAGAUGGGUUAGUCCUUAAAUUGGAUUUUGAAAAAGCUUAUGACAAGCUGAAUUGGGAGUUCCUUUUUGAUUGUCUUAGACAAAGAGGGUUCUGCGAUAAGUGGUGUGAUUGGAUUAAACUAGUAAUGGUGACUGGUACAGUUAGUGUCAAAGUUAAUAACACUACUGGUGGAUAUUUUACUUCUGGUAGAGGUGUCAGACAAGGUGAUCCUCUGUCACCUUUUCUGUUUAAUAUUGCGGCUGACUCUCUAGCUAAGAUGAUUACUCUUGCUCAAAGAAACAAUCUGAUUACUGGCUUAGUUCCUAAUUAUAUUGAGCAUGGGGUUGCUAUUUUGCAAUACGCGGACGACACCAUAUUGUGCUUGCAGGACAACAAGGAACAAGCAACUCAUUUGAAGCUUCUUUUAUACCUCUAUGAGUCCAUGUCGGGCCUCAAGAUUAAUUUUUCCAAAAGUGAAGUAAUCAUGAUAAGUCAGGAUGAUUCCAAGAGUGUUGAAUUCUCUAAUAUGUUCAAUUGUGCUAUCGGUAAGUGGCCCAUGAAAUACCUUGGAGUCCCUGUUGCUGGCUCUAGGCUUCAUGUGGCUGACUGGCUACCUAUUAUUGAAAAACUUAUGAAGAGAUUGGAUGGUUGGAAGGGAAGUGUGCUGAGUCUUGGGGGCAGGUUGACUCUUAUUAAUUCCUGCUUGAGCAAUCUUCCUGUGUAUGUAAUGUCGAUGUAUUGGUUGCCUGUGUCAACCAUUGACAAAAUGGAUUCUGUCAGAAAAAGAUUUUUCUGGCAAGGAGGAAACCUAAAAAAGAAGUAUCAUCUUGUGAAGUGGACCAAAAUUUCAAAGCCUAAAGAUAAGGGAGGGUUAGGCAUUAAGAACUUAAGAAGAAUGAAUAUAAGCCUUCUGUGUAAAUGGUGGUGGAAGGUGGAGAAUGGAGAGGGUAUCUGGCAAGACAUCAUCAGGAAGAAAUACUUAAAAAAUGGAAGUUUGCAUAUCCUGAGGAAAAAUCAUAAAAAUUCUGCGGUUUGGAAUGAUUUACUUAGAGUGAAAGCUUUAUACCUGAAAGGCAGAUCUAUGAUUAUUGGGAAUGGUAAGAAUACCAGUUUUUGGCAUGAUCGCUGGUGUGGACUUGUCUCCUUAGCAGACAAGUUCCCUCGUCUUUUUGAAAUUAGCGAAGAUCAAGAUUGCACAGUGGAAAAUAUGAAGAAUAGGAGAUGGAAACUUAAGUUUAGGAGAUGGUUGCACGAAGACCUUCAAAGUCAGUUGGGCAGACUCCAGGAUAUUGUCUAUCGUUGUUGUACUAAUGGCGACAAAGAUAGAGCGGUGUGGGAUUGGGAGAAAUCUGGGGUUUUCUCUGUCAAAUCUACCUACAAUCAUUUGUGCAAGAAUGAUUAUGGUAUGAAUAAUAACAAAAUUUGGAAAGCUAAGCUCCCUAUCAAAAUCAAAAUUUUUCUUUGGCUAGUAUGUCAAAAUGCAAUUCUGACUAAAGAUAACUUGUGGAAACGGAAAUGGAAAGGGAACAAAUCUUGUGCUUUUUGUUCUGAGGAUGAGACUGUUCAGCAUAUCUUUUUUGGGUGCCUGAUGGCAAAAUAUGUGUGGAGUAUUUUAGCUUUCUCUCUGGGGGCUGAUUGUAGACCCUCUAACAUUGAUCAAUAUUGGAUUUGGGUCAAUAAGAUUUUGCCUUAUAGCCAAAAGAUGCAUGCUGUGGGGCUUGCUGCCAUUUGUUGGGCGCUUUGGCGUUCGCGUAACGCUGCUUGCUUUGAAAAGAAACAUAUCAAAUCUCCUACUGAGAUUGUGUGCAUGAUCUGUUCUUUUCUGACAUAUUGGGCAGGGCUGCUGAAGGAAGAUAUGCAGGCUCAGGUUAUCCAAGGCGCGGCUGUGGUGAAGUCAGCGGCUUUGUUUUUCCACAGUCAAGGCGUUCAGAUGGGUGCAGGACAUCAGAUGGUGCCUUAUGAUGGUUGAUUCCCAAAAGCGUUGACAUCCCUGAAGACUUUCUAGAGUUUGCUGUUUUUGAGCUCUAGUUAUAUGUCUAGACUUAGUCUAGCCGUUCAAGAACCUCUUUCGUGUGGUCUGUACUGCAACUUUUCGUUGCUGGCGUGUUAUCCUGUACUUUGGCUUGGUGCCCUUGGUGUACCUAGGCCUUAGUACCGCUUUAUUUCUUGUGUGUCGGUACUUUGUUUUGGUUUGGCUGAACUUGGUUGUAAGACCUUUGUAAUUUCGUUGCUGCGGUAAUGAAAUUCGGUUUUUACCGGUGUGGAAAAAAGGUCAGGACAAGAAGAAGACGACGCAACCGCAACCAGAGGAGGCAAAUCAUCAAGGACAGAUGGGCAGACUACGAAGGAAAAGUUGUAAGGUCAGAAGACGUUAAGUUUAAACAGAAUUAUCCAGAGGAGACCGAAGCACCAAGUUCUGGUGUGGAAAAUGAAGAUAACUAUACAUGAAGAGGAGGCGCUGUCGGAAGUACCGACUACGUCACCCAACGAACCUCAGAAUAAUUGAGAAGGAGGAGAGUCCCGUUCGGAGGACUUAAAAACACCGAACGUCUUGCCAAGAGGUAAACUUGGUAGUUAUCCUUUCCCUUUUAAUUAUUUCAAGUAGUUCACUUAGUUAAUUAAGUUCUAAACAGAAAGUAAAAAUAUGAAAAACAGUAAGCCCCAUGUGAGGAUACUGGCAUAAAACCCAUAAGUACAUUCACUGUGGUGGCAUAAAAAUAAAAUAAAAAUAUUUUUCUGCUUUAUAAAAUAAAAAUAUAAAAACAGGGAGUAAUAAUUAUUAAGGAGUCUCAACAUGAUAAAGGCUAGAUAAUUAUGCUAACACUUAAUUAGUUCCACAAGCUUUGUUGUCUAUUUGAGCUCCACAGAAUCUAAGAAUUAAGAAGACUGGUAGACGGAGGAUAUUCUAAUCGCUGUCACAAUGCUGCUGACUUUCAAAUACACCUCUGCCACUUGCUAGCUACAUCAAGAGAAAUUACGUCAAAAUUCAGCUUGGGGGAGAGCACCCCCAUUUAUCUCGAUAAGUAUUUCUAUCUAUCUUUAUACUUAUAUUAUUUUAGAAUAUAAAUAUACAUAACUAUGAAAAACCAAAUAAAGAUUUUAUGCUUAUAUAUAUAUGUCUUUUGCUUAGUGUGUUUAAUAAAUAAAUAAAGUGGCUAUGCUAAUCUGUAUCUAAAUAAAACUCAAGCAUGGAAAUGAUGAAUAGUUGCUCUGCCUAAUUUGCACAUUUUAAGUUCUCUCUCAAGUUUAGACAUAACUGUUAUAAUUUAAAGCUUGCUCUAGACCUAAACUUGUGGGAUGAAAACUUGAUCUGAAAUCUAAGUUGUUAACGGAUACGAUAUGGGAAGGUUGAGCUGCUGUUUAUCUGUUUCUAGAGAUGCUAGAAUUCUGGAGAAUUUUAUCUUUUGAAAUCCUUAAAAUGUUGCAUGAUGAGUUCCUGUAUGAUGAGAGUUUAAAUUCAUACCACAGCCAUAUAUACAUGCUUGCUAGACUUCGAGCCACACAUUUACUUUUUACUGCUUAUGAGCAUUGAGUGUGGUCAAGCUGUGUAGACCCUUAGGAGCUUGUCAUGUGGUUAAAUCAAGAUUCACUUGCACGUUCACUCACACAUGCUACUUCUACUCCGGAAGUACCAUCCACAUAUAUCCAUACAUUUCCAUCUUCAGAAUCACCCAAAAAUAUUCUACUCCUAAUCCGGGAGAGAAUAGCCAAAAAUAAUUUUGUUCUUCCUUAUGUAAUAAAUGCCUCAAGAUCAAUAAAGAGUAUUAUUAUUAUGUCUUGUGUGUCUCUACUUUAUUUUUGUGCAAGAAAGCAGAAAACAAGUAUGGGGGAGAUCCCUCGACAUGCUAAACACACUCCGACUACACCACUCCACGAUUCAGGUACACACUCUGCACACUUUACUUUACACAUAUAUAUAUUUUAGAUUAUGCAGAAUAUUGUUCCCGACAUGAUAAAAUAAAAAGAUUAAAAUAUUUCUAAUCAUGAUUAAUCUCAAUCUGUGAUAUUUCCUGAAAACUUGCAAAUUAUUAUAAAAUCAUUUUAAAACCCUGUGUUACUUAAGUCAAUAUGGAAUAUGUGAUGGUAGAGUAUGAGUUUCUUAUUCUUGAUAUCAUUGUUGAUUGGAGAAUUUAUUUCAAAAUAUUCAAAUUCCUAGCUACCAUCCUCAGUGUUUUAUAUGCCUGAUAAAACUGAAAUAUUAAAUAUGAUUAUAAAAGCUAUCUGCUCUGUAUUGAGUUUGUUCAAAAUGAGUUAGACCCUUGUUGAGAGAUUUAUCAUGCUUCUAAGAUCAAGACACUAUUUCAGUAAGAUUCACUCUUCCGAAGUAUUAUUGCAUUAGAGGCAUGGGCUAUGCAAAAAUAGAAGAUAUUUCGAGGAAAUAAAAAGGAGCAAGUGCUCGACAACCUCGCAGAAAAAAUGGACAAGUGUCCGGCAGUAGAAUUAGGGGUACCUCGGUAUCCACUUAAAAAAAAGAAAAAAAAAAGAGAAAAAAAAUGAUAGCCCAUGGUCCCUCUAAUAAGCAAUAUGCCAGCAAGAGUUGACAAAGUUUUUAAUUUCCAAAGUCUUUGAUCUAAGAGUAUGACAUUUCCCUCCUCGGAUCCCGUUUUGAUCAGGCAAUAAAUCCAAAGUAAGUAUGCUUGAGAAUUUUUGCAAAAUAAAACAGCCUCAGUGAGAUAUAUAUAUAAAAGAUAAUGAGUGAUCUGAGAGAACCUAUGAGGAUCAAAAGGUAUGCUAACUUUCUUUCAAAAAUAUACAAAAACUCCAAGUGACAGGAUUGAAAAGAAAGAAUCUUUACUCUUAACCAUAUACUUCCCUGACUACAGUACACAGUGGAAUUUUAACACCCUGCAAAUUAUAUAGAGAAUGUUUUAAAUGUUUACCCCAGAUAUUGUUCUCAACCAUCCUUUUCUCGAGGACGAGUAAAAGCCUAAGUAUGGGGGUAUUUGUUGACGGUUCUUAAGUAUCAAUUUUAAUUAUCAAAUAAACAAGAGAAAGGACCAAUAUGCAACCAUCACCUAGAAUUAGGGUUUGAUCUGACAGAAUUCCACGAGUUUUGUUGUUUAUCUACUUCUGCAGGGGGUUAUCAGGAAAUAAGGAAGAAAGGCCCACAUGUCAGGAUUACAUAGAGAUAUCAACGCACCGCGCAAUUUUACAUCAUCUAGAAGACUCCAGAAGCCACGAGACCGAAGCGGAGGCCAAACUGGGCCAGGCCUAGGGCGCCCGCCCUGGUAGCCUGGGCGCCCGCCCCCCUGCUGGAGCCAAAUCAGGACUCCUUCGCUCGGGAUAUUCCACCGACCUAUUGGAUCAAGAAAAACAUAGUACCACCUCGGCUAUUGACCCAAAAACGCAUAGAAGGGGAGGACUAUAUAAGCAAGGCCCCCCGUGGCCCCUAGAGAAGACAUGAAGAAAUUAUCAUAGAGACUGAGGGGUGCCCUCGAAGGAAAACCUCUUCUCUAAUUAAUAUUUCUUUUUAGGCUUAGCAAUCAAUGUAAGGUAGAAAUAGAUCUUCUAGUUCUACUAGAUUGAGAGAGAUAGAGUGGAGGUGUUGAUUGGAGGAAGCCCGGCUUGUCGGUGUCUACUCCAAGCUUGUACCUGCGGGAUCAAGUUCUCCUAACCCGAAGCUUGCUCCUAGGAUUCUUCAGUAAUUCGACUUCUAAAUUCUAGUAAGUUCUUGUUUUAUUGUUCUUAUGGUUUAUGAGUUUACUUUAAUCUCUUCGCGUAGAGUUUAGAGUAAUCAUUGCUGGCGUAAACGUGGUGUUUAGGCUGGGGUACUCAUAGAUAUUCCCUGACUAGCUGGACCGUGGUAGUAGUGAGGAACGUGACAUUUCCGAGCUACCUUUGUAGAUCACAUCUCGUUAGCAGGAAGGAUAGGGUUUAUAGGUGCGGGUCGAACAUCCUUUGUGGUGUCUAGAUUCCGUUAGCCUCCCCAUUAGAACAGUAGAUCAUCCUUACCAAGGUUAGAAGGAGACUACGGUUGCAGUCUUCUCUAUUUAUCACUCACAUCGAAAUACAUUCUUUGUGCCUAAAGGGAUAGUAGCAAUAGACCGGUUAGUCAGAUGCACCCUUUCUCCCAGUGGUAAAAAUAUAAAUACGAUACUCUGGAAAACCUCCCGGGUGAAAUGCUCACCGAUAUCCGUGCGCUUGCGGAUCGUUUCCUUAUUGCGUUACCAAAUAUCAACACAAGCCUCGGGUUAGAAGACUUGAUCCCGCAGGUACAACCUUGGAGUAGACACCGACAGGUCGGGCUUCCUCCGAUCUACUCCUCCACUCUAUCUCUCUCAAUCUAGUAGAAACUAGAAGAUCUAAUUCUACUCACAUUGGAUGCUAAGCAUAAAAGAGAUUUUUAUUUGGAGGAGAGGUAUUCCUUCGAGGGCUCCUCUCAACUCUAUGAUGAACUUGUCUCCUCCAGGGGCCAGGGGGUCUGGUUUUAUAGUCCCCUCAAGUGAACGUGGGCCGUUGGAUCAAACCGACAUUGAUUGAACGUUUAUCCUUGAUCCUUUAGGUCGGUGAGAUUGAUCCCGAAAGAGAGUCCUGAUCCAACUCUAUGAGGGGGCGGACGCCUAGUGCCUGGCCCCGUUCGGCCUCCUCUUCCUUCCCGUGGCUUCUAGAGUCUUCUAGAUGUAAGAUAAUUGCGCGGCACGUUAAUAUCUCUAUGUAAACCCGACGUGUGGGCCUUUCUUCCGUAUUUCCUGUUAACCCCCUAUAGAAAUAGACAAACACCAAAACUCAUGGAAUUCUAUCAGGUAAAACCCUAAGUCUAGGUGUUGGUUGCAUUUGGAUCCUUUUCUUUAUUUAUUUGAUGAUUAUAUUUGGUACUUAAGGACCGUCAACAACUACCACUUUUAUUGUGGCCUAAACAAGGAAGCUGCUCUUCACCUCGACUUUGCUUCAGGAGGAUCAUUCACACACAAACUCAC
This 76183-nucleotide long non-coding RNA is filed under the name Sorghum bicolor (sorghum). RNAcentral describes it as "long non-coding RNA (SBIC_LNC014307)". Lineage: Eukaryota; Viridiplantae; Streptophyta; Magnoliopsida; Poales; Poaceae. The record is from RNAcentral.